UUAGCCACUAAAAAACAAUCCAAAUUCCAAAAAACACCCUCCUCCACCGCCAUUCCCAAAACUUACCCUAUCAUUGGUUCUGUCUUUUCCAUUUACGCCAACUUCCACCGCCGUGUCCACUGGAUCUCCGACAUCCUCCAAACCAUCCCUUCUUCCACCUUCAUCCUCCACCGCUCCUUCGGUUCCCGCCAAGUUUUCACGGCAAACCCCGCCGUAGUGCAACAUAUUCUCAAAACCAACUUCCCUUGCUACCGCAAAGGUCUCACGCUUAAACGUUCCGUCGGUGAUUUUCUCGGGGACGGCAUCUUCAGUGCCGACGGUGAAACUUGGAAGUUUCAACGACAAAUUUCCAGCCAUGAAUUCAACACUAAGUCUCUACGUAAAUUUGUCGAAACUGUCGUCGAGGUUGAACUCAAUGAUCGUCUGCUUCCUAUUCUCUCCGAAGCUUCCAAAAACCAAACGGUUCUGCUUGAUUUUCAAGAUAUCCUCCAACGUUUUACGUUCGAUAGUAUCUGCAGAAUCGCGUUUGGAUUCGAUCCGGAGUACUUACAUUCUUCUCUUCCCAAAACCAUGUUUGUAAAAGCCUUUGACGAUAGCUCACUAAUUAGCAGUGUGAGAUUUAACGCUGCGAUUCCAUUGAUAUGGAAAGUGAAGAAAAUAUUAAACAUAGGGAUCGAGCGACGAUUGAAAGAAGCCGUCGCUGAAGUAAGAGGACUUGCUACAAGAAUCGUUAGGGAAAAGAAAAAAGAGCUUAAAGAAAAAGCAACUUUGGAAUCAGUUGAUCUUUUAUCGCGGUUUUUAAGUUCGGGUCAUUCGGAUGAAUCAUUUGUAGUUGAUAUUGUAAUAAGCUUUAUUCUUGCUGGGAAAGAUACAACUUCAGCUGCACUCACGUGGUUCUUUUGGCUACUCUCUAAGCAUAGUCAUGUGGAGAAUGAAAUUCUCAAAGAGAUUACCGGAAAAUCAGAAAUAGUUAGUUACGAUGAGGUGAAGGAUAUGGUUUAUACUCAUGCGUCGUUAUGCGAGAGUAUGAGACUUUAUCCUCCAGUUCCAGUGGAUACUAAAGAAGCAGCGUACAAUGAUGUUUUGCCAGAUGGAACUUUUGUGAAGAAAGGGUGGAGAGUGGCGUAUCAUAUAUAUGCUAUGGGAAGGUCGGAGAAAAUAUGGGGACUUGAUUGGGCUGAGUUUCGACCGGAGAGGUGGUUGAGUCAAGAUGAGGAUGGGAAGUGGAGUUUUAUUGGGAUGGAUCCUUAUAGUUAUGCGGUUUUUCAAGCUGGGCCGAGGGUGUGUUUAGGAAAGGAAAUGGCGUUCUUGCAGAUGAAGAGGGUGGUUGCAGGGAUCAUGAGGCAGUUUAGGGUGGUUCCUGCAAUGGAUAAAGGGGUUGAGCCGGAGUACAUUGCACACCUUACCUCAUUGAUGAAAGGUGGCUUCUCGGUAAGAAUUGAGAAGCGAAGCCACAAAGAUCAAUAAAAAUUAAUAAGGUCAUGUUAACUAGUAUUGCUGAUAUAUUAGUUAAGAAAGUUAAAAGUGAAAAAAUUUCAUUAAAAACCACAUAUUCUUAAUUUUAAAAAGUUAAAUAUACAACUUUUCCACAUUUUACAUUACAAUGUUUCUAUAUUAGUUUUCUUAGCAUUUCUCAUAAAAGUAAAUGUUGCAUAAAUAUGUUCCAAAGGUUCCAACGUCAAAACAUACUCAUUAUCUUGUAUAGAAUAUGUAAUUGGUAUCACACCAAAUUUGCCAAAAUCAUAAUAUUCAUCGUGAUGUUCAUGUAAUUUCGACAAAGCUACUUCAUUGGUCUGUCCCAAAUCAUUGUGAAUCAUAGCUUAAAUUCUGAGUAUGAUUUGUACCUUUGGAUAGCUAGUUAGAAGUUAGAACUUCCAUUUUGGAAAAUAAUAUUUUAAGCAAUUUUUAAGAAUAAACUAGAGUUUAGCUAAAAAUAAUUGGACAUUAUUUUAUUUAUUAUUUAUAUCUACAAACAAUACAAAUUAAAAAAACAUCACAUCCUUCACGUGGGAACAAAGACAACGUAUACACGAUGUAUUAGUAAACUAUAUAUGCUGUAUUCUCCAAUAUCCCAGUCCCACCAUCACUAUCUACAAAUAUAUAUAUAUAUAUAUAUAUAUGGUGUACUAUUCUCCAUCGGGAAUGUGUUUUGAUGAGUAAGCACAAUAGAAAUUCAAAAUCAAUACUCUAGCCCUAAUCUGCGUCGGGUCAAAUGAUAUAUAUUCACACUCCAUGAUGAUGAAUAAUAUAAAGCAUUUCCCAUAAUAUAAUAGUUGAAGAAAAAAAAAAAUACUUAAAAAUUAGGCGAGGAACUCGUGAGAUGAGUAGAAGAUUUAAAUUGUUGGAUGUGUGGGCAACGUGAUUUUGAAGCAAUCAGAUUCUUUAUCGUUACAAUAUACGUUGUCGCAAAUCAGGUUACAAAGUUGUUCGCAUUCGCACAUUCGGAACAUCUAGGGUUUGUUAUUCAACAACCGAGGAUGUACCGAAUGCUGUAAAUUUGUCACCACGAGGAACUCUGAUCUGAUUUUGACAGGCAUGGCAAUUGAUUGCCAUGAUCUAAUCUUACAUUUCAGAUCUAAUCUUAAUAUAUGCUAUUAGAUCACAUACACAUGUGCUGCACUUUGCUUUAUUAAUUGGAAUGAGUUAUGUCAGAUUUCAUUUCAUGUAUUUUUUUAUUUUAUUUUUUAAAAAAAAUUAUGUUUUGGUUGGUUUGUAAUUUUUGGGGAGUCUAUUUAAAUGUUCUAAGUUUAAAUAUGACGCUAGUCCCUACAAAAUCAUACAUUUUCAACAUUUAAUCCAUCAAAAAAAUUGUCAAGUUUUAGUCCUUAUUUGCAUUUAUAUGGACUAUUUUAAGGACUAAUAAUAUUUUGUUUAUGAAAAAGUUUACAAAAUAGGGACUAUUUUUUUUUUAAAGAAAAAAUAGGGACUAUUUUUAUAAAGUGCAAUAUAAUAUUAUAGAGAAUUAAACCUACACUUAAAAUUUAAUAGGGACUAAACUUAAAAAUUUGUGACUUUGUAAGAACUAGAAAUAUAUUUAACCAUAUAUUUUGUAUGUAACUUUGAAAUUUUUAUUUCAAAACUAGAAUUUGGAAACGAAAAAUAUAUUUCAAUGGACACACAAAACGAUAAUCGAAUAACCAAAUAAAUUAGUUCAAAUGGUUAACGAGCCCUACCAAAUGACAAAUUGUUUUUAAUUUUAAAGUUUGUAGUUUGUAGUUUAAUUGUUUGUAGUUUUAACGAGCCCUACCAAAUCGACUAACCAAAACGAAAAGUCAUUCAAAACUCAUAGAGAAUUAUUUUUAAUUUUAAAGUUUGUAGUUUAAUUGUUUGAUGAUCAACUUUACGCUUAUUGUUUCCCUUAAAAAAAAAAAAAAACUUCAUGCUUAAUGUAUUUUUUAAUAGCAAAUAUUAAUAUGUUAGUUUUUUUAUCCUUGUCAGACUUACUCUGUACUUACAACUCCUUAACUCUUGGUUCAAACCAAUUGAGCUAUCCACCCUUGUAUGUUUAAUGUAAAUUUUAAUGUAAAUUUUGUAUUGAUAUAUUAAUAUGUUCGGUAAAGAUCAAGAAAAGGAUGCGGUUGUUGUGUUGCUCCAUUGUGGCGGAGGUUGAUCCUUCGCGGUGGUCUUCACGACAUAGGAUGAUUGUGCUUGCAAGUACGUUAACACUCUACGCUCAAAUCAGUAUAUAAAUGAGGUGGUUAUGUGCAAAAUGAUGGUAAGUGAAUUGUCACCCUUAUAUAGGUGCAACCAAACAUAACCUUAAUAUAAAAUAUACGUCUAAUUAGAUACCAUAUCCCACUAUCGCUAUAUAAUCUAUCUAUCAACAAAUGGUUUGUAUUCUACAACGAGAAUACGUGUGUAAUCUAAUCAGCAAGCACAAUUUAGUGGUAGAAAACGGGGGAAAUAAAAAUUGAUAGUUUUGAACCUGCAUCUCCUUUAUUCACCACUCAUCUCCUCUGCAUGGGACAAAUGAUAAAUAUUCACAGUCCAUAAUGGCGUCAGUUGUGACGAACGAGUUAUAAUGAAGUAAGCAAAAUACAUAAAAGUUAGAUAAGGCCAAUAUUUUCUUGUGGCAAAUUUGGGAAUGAAAUACAUUUCUUUAUUUCUUUUUAAUACUAUUUCUUUGUCUUUGGCCAAAUAACAUUUAGAUAUAGUUAGACGUUUAUUAUGUAUGAACUACUUUUUAAGUUUUCUUUUUCUUUUGCUACAUAUUGAUUUUUUAGGCCAUAAAUUAUUUUCACAAUUACCCUCUUUUCACUAGACUUAAUUAAUUAAAAUAUGAUUAUGUGGACGUUUAGUGUUAUAUUGGUGGGUUCAAAAUUCAAAUUUAUUGCACUCAAAAUUAUGAUUGGUGGUAGAGAUGUGGUGUUGGAGUGGGUAGGUGGAUUGAUGACAAUAUUGGUAGAGAUGUAGGCGAUGGUAAUACAACUCUUUUUAGGUGGUGUGGUGUUGAAAAAUGGUAACAAUGAUUUGCUAACUAAUAUUAUUCUGCAGUCUAGUAUUUUUGACAGGUGGCUUUGACAUUUACAUGCUUCACAAUCUUACAAUGUUACAAGUGCCUAUCAUUACUUGAUUUCGACGCUCAAUGUCGAGAGACGGAUCAUCCAAAAUCAAUUUGGAACAAGGAGGUCCCUCCAAAAGUCAGCUUGUUUGCUUGACGUAUGUUUUAAAAUCGGUUACCAACAAUGGACAACUUAUCAAGGACACGCAUUCUUCAGCAUAUAUAACGCUCAACCUUGUGUGGGUGGUUGCGGUUCUAUGGAAGACCUUCAUCACUUAUUCUUGUCUUGUGACUAUUUUGGAAAAAAAAUGGGAUGGGAUGGCAUUUUGCAUUGGGUUGGCUUUAUAAUGGUUCAACCAGCGCAAGUAGCAGAUCAUUUUUACCAACUUUAAACUUUAGGCGGCUUUUUUAAAAGUGUUCGCUUAGUUUUUAAGCUCAUUUGACUCUCUUGUGUGUGGAAAAUCUGGAAUGAAAGAAAUGAUCGGGUUUUUCGUCAAAAAGAGUCCUCGUUACAACAACCGCUUAAAAUUAAGCUUCAAACUUUUUGGUAGCUGAAAGCAAACCGCAACACUAUUUUUAACUAUCAUUCGUGGUAUCUUAAUCCUCUUAAUUGUCUGGGGAUCUUUUUGUAAUGAGUUUCAUUUUGCUUUUGUUCCUUUUAUCAGAUUGUUGAUGUAAUUGUUUUUACUUUUCUAUUUUCAGGCACUCAUUGUGCUUGAAUUGUCAGAUUUUGAGAGUAAUGAAAUCCCAUUUUAACUUUUUCAAAACAAAAAAAACUAUGAUUCAUAAUUGUAUUAUUCAAUAUUGAUUUAAAACAACGUCGUUAGAUUACUUGAUUCAAAAUGUUAUUUAUGAAAUAUUUAUCAAUAAAAUUAAGUUUGAAUUCGAAAAUAAGAAGAAAUAAAUGUGUGUAACUAAUCAUAUUUAGAGUAAUAAACACUUUUUAGACUUAUCAUCUCAAUAUCGAAUAGUAAUAUAAACACUGUUUAAAAUGUUAAAUGAAAAAAUGAUAACAUCAUAAUUAUUUUUCUGAUUUAAAGGAUGGAUUUGUUAAAGGGCUAAUUUAUUGCAAAGUAAAAUUAAAUGUCUUUUUUUUGAUAUAGUGUUACCGUAGACAUGUUAACGUGUUAUAAAAAGGUGAAAUAUAGAACGGAGCAAAAUAUUUUAUCGACAUAACCUCAAAUCAUAAAUAUUUGAGUACAUUAAAAUUAGAAAAAAAAAAUGUUGUAGCAAAAAAAAAAUUAAAAAAAUGAUGUUAAUUAAUGUAACUAAAAUUCCUUCAAAUAAAAGUUAAUGUAACUAAAUUAGUUUAAAGAAAUUAAUUUAGUUACAUUGUUUUGACUUUUUAUUUUAUGUGAAUGUACCCAAAUAUUUUUUAUUUGGGGUUGGACUGUUAUAGAGGAUUUGUUCAUCAAAGUGGUUUCUCGCUUGAGUGAAUGAUAAUCGUAUAUUUUUUUGAGGAAGGUCGGCAUAUAUUUUAUUAAAUUAUGUUUAGACUCCAUUAAUAGGAAUACACUUUUCAAAGGAAUUAAUUCCCUUUUUUAGUCCUGGCACAAUUUUGUACGCCUCUUUAUUUGUCCAUAGUAAGGCUGGGUUUGUAUAUAUGUAGAAGUAAGGUUAAGAUAGACAAAUUCAAGAUCCUAGAUAAGAUCGGAUAGAGGCUACUAGAUUUUGAAUCAGGGAAUCGUAACAGGGAAAAGUUAUGGUGCAUAAGCCAUUUCCUUAUGUACCAUUCAUAAACACUUCACAACCAUUGGAUUUACAUAAGAAAAGACAGUAUAAAAACAACUUCAAACAAAAUAAAGUCAUAAACCAACACUCUCUCUCUCUCUCUCUCUCUCUCUCUCUCUCUCUCUCUCUCUCUCUCUCUCUCUCUCUCUAAGUCUGAAACUUAGAGAGAGAUGUUCUGCAAAAGAGUUUCUUCUCCGACCUCCUCUUCAAGCGCCGGCGCGGUGGCUGCCGGCCCAACAGGGCGGCGGCGCCGCGCCGGAGAUAGCAAAAACCUCCGUUUUCAAAAAAAAAUUCAAGAAUCCGACAUCCAUUUUCUUUUUAAACUUAAAUCCACCUUUAAAAUUUUCGAAAAGCAAACACAUAUGCCUAGAUCUAGCUUCAAAGAUUCGAAAAAAAGGACACGGAAGAGAAGAAUUCGAAAUUGAUAGAAGAGAAGAAUUCAAAAUUGAUAGAAGAGAAGAGAAGAAUUCGAAAUUUGUAGUGUGCUAUGAUUCUGAUGAUUGUUUGCUGGAAAAGUGUUUGAUGGAUUUGUAGUGAAAGCUCAAAAAAUGAAUUGUUGAAACCAUUCCCACAGCAAAAAUUUCUGGAAACCAUUCCCACAGCAAAAUGGUUUUGGAGUACAACACACAGAAACCAUUUCCACAGCAAAAUGGUUUUGGAGUACAACUCACAGAAACCAUUUCUUUCCUCCUCCUCCAAUUGUGUCGGUCCAAAACUGAAUGAUGUCAAUGGCUCUAGGUCCUUAGUUUUUGUUCACCUGCUGGAAACCAUUAAGUACAUCUAAUGAUUUUGGAGUACAACUCACAUAAACCAUUUCCACAGCAAAAUGGUUUUGGCAUAAUUUUAUACAAAACAUACUAUAAUAAGGACAUUUGUGACUGUUAUUGAACCAAAUCAACACUCUGAAAUCAUUAUUGAACUAAAAUGAUGAUUUCCACGGUUGUAGUGUUGUUUCGUUUGGUUUCGCUUGGAGGUGUAGGGAAGCUAUUAUAUUUCAAAUGGAAUUUAUGCACGGUACAUAAGGAUUUCCUUAUGCACCAUAACCACUCCCGUCGUAACACUGAUUAUAAGAUCCUACCAAAUUAAAAGAAUUCAUAAAUGGUGCAUAUAAAUCCAUACAUGUGCAUAUGAAGCAUUAUAAUUUUAAUAGAAAAACUCCAAAUAACACCCAAAUUAAUUACCAAAAUUUGAAAUUUAAGAUCAUAAUAUUUAUAAGGCUAAACUACACUUUUCGCCUCUUAAGUUUUAAAAUAUUGCGAUUUUGGUCCCCUAAAAAAAUUAUAAUUUUGGCCUAUUUCGUUCCAAAAUUGUUGAGAAAGCCCCACAUGUCCCAAAAAGGGGGUCAUAAUCGAAACUUUUUGUAAAGAUAAGGGGUCAAAAAGCAUAUUUUCCAUAUGUUAGGGGGUCAAAAUAUUAUAUUUCCAUAAAAAUAGGGGUCACUUUUACCAUUUUAUAAAUAGUAAAAUGAUGUUUUUUCUUAUGAAAUAUUGUUCUAUAAAAUAUAAAUAUUGACAAAUAGCUAUUUACUACAUAAAAAAUAAUCGUUAAUUUAUAAAAUUAAGAUGUAAGAGUACCGAUACACUUCAUCUUGUGAGUGUACCGUAGAAGUUUCCUAACAUUUUUCUUCUUAUUAAAGGCAAUCAACCACAAUAGAAUGCAUCAAAUAAUAGGCUACAGUACAGCGCUCACCAAAAUAGAAAAAACCAAAUACAUCUUCUCUUACGGUCUUUUACAUUAAUUUUUUUAUUUUUUGAGGAAUUUACAUUAUUUUUUUGAAAAGUACGGUCUUUUAAAUUUUAUAUUUCUAUUAUAUUGAUUUUUUUUUAUAUUUUUUAAUUUUAUAUUGGUCAUUUUUCUUUUUAACCUUUUGCACCAUCGAUAUUCUUUUAAUAAUAAUUCAUUAUAAAAAGGCUGACUUACCUGUUAAACCUGUAACAUAGAUGUUAAACACGUUGCGACUAGGCCAAAUCAGAAAGAAAAAAAUUAAUUAAACAAAAAACUCAAUAUAUACUAUAUAAUAAUUUAUCUAGUUUUUUUUUUUUUUUUGUCUAAUUCAUUAACAGGGUAUUGUACGCGCAUACACAUGUAUCAUCAAAUUUUUGUUUUUAUAUAUCCAUCAUUAGUUCAUUACCUUUUCACCUCCCUACAAGAACAUAUGCAUCUUUGAAUAAUUUGGUGAAUACUCUCGUACUCUAGAGUUUGGUUGAAUACAUAUUAACCAUUAAUUUAAUAUCAAUUAAUUUUUUUAACAAUUUUGAACAAUUUUUUCUACAGAAUUCAUUCAGUAUCCAAUUGAAUUUCAAACUACUUAAAAAUUUACUUUCAAUUUUUUUAAUUAUUACAAGUAUAUGUCACUAUUCUAUUAUCGUAUCAUUGCAGCUACCAUAAACUCAACAACACUGAAACGUCGUUUUUCUAUACGGUACGUAACACUGAAACAACGUUGUUGCUACGCCUACAGUUAUUACUUUCGUUCUAAUCUCAGUAUUGUCAAUGUUACCAUAACCAUUACGACAACAAAUAACGUAUCUAUCAAAAAUGAGGAAAAAUAAGAAUAAAAAAUUAGAAAUUAAGGAAAUCCUCAAGUUGCUAUGCAGUUAACGCCGACAAUUUCUUAUAGCACCAACUUUUCUAGAAGAUUGUUUUGUCUCAGUUAAAUCUUAAUAUUUUUACUAUGAAUAGUAGAGGUUCACGUCUUCCAAAUAUAUGCUGCUUAGUGCUUAUGAUGUUAAUCGUUAUCAAAUUAUCCUUGUAGUGUCAGAUCAUUCUUUGAAUUUAUUUAGGUACCUCUAUUUUCAAUGGUUGUAGUUUGGAAGAGUUCAGCUUGUUAAAAAUAUUUUUGAUAUAUAGCAAGCUUGUUUAAUGUUUUAUGGUGUAUUAUUGGCUUGUAAAACUUCUUAAAGAGAUUGAUAAAUGACUCAGAAACCUCAUCUCGUCUCAGGAUAUAAAUAAUGAGUAAUGAUACAUAGAGUUGGUUAUUUGCUUGCCAUAAAUAAUAGAAAGUUGGUUAUUUGCUUGCCAUAAAGUUCCCGGGGAAGAUUUAUUAUUCCCCAUGGGUCAUGGAUAUAGGUCAAGUAUAUCUAACUGUGGUCGUGGUGGUGGUGCAAACCAUACUGCUUGUGGUGUGGAAAUGGUGAGAGAUGGAAGAGAAGAAGAAGAAGAAUCAUGAAAGAAUAAUACAAUGAAGAAAGAAAAGAAAAAAAGAAAAAAAAGGAGAAAAUGGGAGGUGUAUAAUCUUGUCUAUAUGGUCUACAAUUGGAUAUGUGCCUCCGUCCUUAAUUAUAAAGUCCUUUUGAAAAAAUAAUGGGAGUUAAGAUAGUGGAUAUUUGUAUUAAAUGUGUUUGUAAUUACUAUUGUUUUUACAAUUUUAUCCUUUAAGAGAGAUGAUUGAUUUAUGUUUUUAACAUGUUAUUUAUUGCUGAUUGAAGAAAAAUAUGUAUAAUAAAGAGGGGCAUAUAUGUAAAGAAAUAAUUAAUGUAGUUGGAAAUAGCAAAAGGAUUUUAUAAAAAGUGACAAAAAAUUUUCUCUUAUAAAUAGGGACGGAUGUAGUACAUUAAAGGUUACAUGAAAUAAAAGUUCGCUAGCUUGAUAUAAAUCAUGCUUCGGAAAAUAUUCGUAGAAUAGUUAUUUUUAUUUUUAUUUUGAAUAAACUAUCAAUAUAUGAUUGUGGAAUUAUAGGCUCUCUCCAAUUUCGCAAUGAACUAUAGGAAUAUAAUAAAUAGUCCAUAAACUAUUAUAAAUCCAUCAAGCUAGUUAGCAUAGUUUUAAAACUCGGAUCGGACCCCAACACCAUCAAAAAAAAAAAGAUAUUCAUAUGAUAUAAGUUUUUAAAAAACUGUAUCAAACUUUCAGAAGACUCAAACCUAAAAUGUAGGUCCGACAAGCUACAAGCCAGACUUAAGCUUUAAAAAUAUUUGAUGAUGAGAGCCAAGCUUAGGCCUUGCAAAGCCUAAUUCAAACUAGCCUAUUUCCACCCCUCGUGGUAGUCAUGAGGAGUUGCAUGUGGUUGUCAUAUGAAAGGAGUAUUUUUGAAUUAUUUUAUGUUUGCAAGCAGUUAAUUAGGACCACUCUGGCAUGGACAGGUGGAAUGUCGCAACAUUUUGAACAUAUUAAUUAACACAGAAUAAUUGGAAUGAUUUUUUUGGCAAAAUUAUAUUUUUAGUCCUUAAUUUAAUAGUUUGGUCCUUUGUUUUUUUCAUUUCAAUUUCGUCCUUUUGGUUCAUUUACAUUUGGAUUUUCAAGUUUCAAAUCUAAUAUUUAUAUGUAAACAUAUAUGAAAGAAGGGAAAAAAUUGUGCAAUUAUGGUAACAAAAAAAACUCAUGCAAUUGUGACAAACAAAUUUAAGUUUUUGUUGACGGGUGCCCUAAGAGAAUCGUUUAAAGAUUCUAUUAAAAACAAUUGCCUUUAAAAUACAACAUUUUUUUUGUCAAUGCAAUUGGCUUUUUUCAUUGUUUUUUGUGACGAAGGCAGCAUACGUGAACAUUUAAUUAUUGAAAUAAAAAAUAUUAUUAUUGAUUCUUUUAUACUCCACAAUAUAAAAAAAAAAAAUGUAGUAUAAAAAAAAAAAGUCGUUGGUGGUCAUUAUAAUUAGGCAGAGAUAAAACUAGGCAUUAAGCAAUAAGAGGGGCUGCUGUCAGCCCCACAGUAUUAAAAGUCGCUGUUUCCUCCGUCCUAAAAAUUUAGGGUUUAGGGUUUAGACUUUUUUUUUUUUUUUUAUUGAAAAAAUAUCCUAAAAUGAUCAACAUUUUUAAUAUAGUACUUUUAAAUCAAUUGUUUAAAGAGAAAUAAUAUUUGAACAACCAUUUUUUAUAACUUUUGUGAUAACUUUUUCUCUCAUACUCACAUUAUCUUUUUACUUUCUCUCUCUAUUGCUUUGGUUUUUGUGCCACUACCUCAUUUUUUUUGUAAAAUUUUGGUUGUCACAAAAGUUGUCACAUAUAUGGAUGUUCAAAUAACACAACUCUUAUUUAAAUGAUUAUUAAAUACUACUCCUUCUGUUUUAUGAUAGAUGUCCUCUUUACCAAAUUUUUUUAUCAAAUUAUUUGUAGCAUACCUUUAUUUAUUGCAUUUUAAUUAUUUAUAACUAUAGGUGUUUACGGUGCGGUUUUAAUCGAUAUUUUUGAGGGAAAAUGUCAUUUAAUCCAAAAUAAAAAGUGGUUCGGUUCAGUUGGAUGACUAUUCUAAAAAAAUCCAAACUGACCCGAUUCAAAUAUAUGCGGUUUAAUUUGGUUCGAUUUUUGGAUAUUCAAAAUACAAAAUGUAUAUUUUUUAUUUAGUUUUUUUAAGAAUAUAAUUUUUUUUAUUAAUAUUAAUAUCCCACAAACACGGUAAGUGAGAUUGACGUCACACCAUCAUCCAAAAUAUUAAGGCAUUAGGUAUAUUGAUCAUCUCACUUAUAUAUGUUUCUCAACACCUACUCUUGCAUCCAAUGUGGAACGUUAAGUCACAAUUGAUAAAUUAAUAUACCUCCCUUUAAUGUGAGACUCUUUCUGUCUGUGAUCCGGUGACAAACCAAAUAAGGUGAGGUGGAGGCACAUCAUGGUAAAAAAGAUGGGUUGACAGUGGUUUCAUGGAGGAAGAUUUAUAUUCCUAUCUUUCAUGAGAAGAGAGGGAGAAAAUUAGAAAGAAAAAAAAAGUAGUGGGUUUUGUUCGGGAAACAAUUAUGAAUAGAGCGAGUUACCGGUAAUUUUAUGGGGUUGUUAUAGGAGUUGGAGAUUAAUGAGUUAUAUUUCACCAACAAAUAUAUAUACCCAAUUAAAAAAACUUUACAUUGUUUUAAAAUGUCUAAUAAGCAUAUACUUAGUCAACCCCAUGCAACACAUCUGAAUUUUUUCCAUUGUCACAACUCACUAAAGACCAAAAGUGAAGGUAUUUGAAAUAAUUGAGGUUCGAUAAAAAAAUGCAUGAAAGAUAACUACAUCCAAAAACUUAUAUUUGAUAUAAAAAAAAUUAAGAAAAUGAUAUCCAAAAUCUAUAAAAAAAAUAAAAAAAAAUAAAAAAAAAAUAAAAGUUCAUCAUAAUGUUAUGAGUUUUAGGGAGUCUGAAUGGGUUGGAUCAUCACAUUUUACUAAGAGAAACCUCACAAGUGAGAUUGACACCACAUCCUCACCAAAAAAACUUCAGACAUUAGGUAUAUUGAUCAUCUCGCUUAUAUGUUGCUCAAAAUAUACUCUUUCAUCCAAUGUAGAAAUUUAACUUACAUAUGACACAUUAACAUAUCUCCCUUAAGUGUGAGAUUUUUUGUGUUUGUGAUCUGGUGAGAUAGUCGAAUAAGGUUAGAGGUACAACAGGGUAAAAAAUGUGGGUUUAUGGCGUUUUCAUCUUAAGGAUAUUUUUGUUCCUUUUAUUUUAUGAGAAAAGAUAAAGUAAAUAAGAAAGAAAAAAUAAUAAAAAAGGAAUUUGAACAUGAGAGAAAUGAUAAUGAAAAAACUAAGGAGUGUGUGUUUUAUCGAUGAGAGUAUAGAGAAUAAAAUGAGUUGUUGAUAAUUUUUUGGAUUUGUUGAAAGAGUUGGAUUACUGGAUAAUUACGCUACCAAAAUAUUAGACUCAUUAAAAAAAAUGUCACAUCAAUUUAAAAUAUCUAAUAAACAUGUAUUUUAUCAAUUCAACAUAACACAUCUAUAUGUUUCUACUGUCGGAUCACACCAAAUAUCAAAAGUGAAUGAAUUUGAAAUAACAGAGGUUGAAUAAAAAAACAUCAUGAAAGCGAAUGACAUAAAAAAACUAAAAUUUAAGAUAAAAAAUUAAACAAAUGACACCCCUAAACUAACAAAACAAAUCAUCAUAAUGUUGGAACUUACAUGGAGCCUACAUUAGAUUGUAUCGUGGCAUUUGGCUUAGAUGAACCACACAAGUGAGUUUCAAAUCACAUAUUCAUCAAAACUCUUAAAAUAUUAGGUAUAUCGGCCAUCUUGCUUAUAUGUUGUUGAACAUCGACUCUUGCAUACAUUGUAAAAUUUUAAUUCAUAAUUGACACAUUAACAUCUUUCUCUCAAGUGUCAGACUCACUAUGUCUGUGAUCCACUACUAAGAACCACUCCUAUUCCUCCACAAUGUUGAACUGGAAUAUGAUACCAACUGUUGGACCUUAUGAGGAAGGCAACACUGAUGUUGAUCGACACCUUAGAGAGAGCAAUCACACAAGUGAGAAUAGUAACACAUGUUCAUCAAAAAAUCUAAGGCUUACGUAUAUGAGUUUUUUCACGUAUUUAUUAUUCAACCUUCAGUCUUUUAUCUAAUGUUGGAUUUUAAUUUACACUUUAUACAAUACAAUAUUCUCUCCCUCAAGUGUGACAAAAUUCUAGUAUGUGUUUGGCACGGGUGUCCAUACUAAUUAUCUAUAACUAGGGGUGUUUGCGGUGCGAUUUGGAUCGGUUUUGAGACAAAAUAUCAUCCAAUCCAAAAUAAAAAGAGUAAAUUACUCCACCCUCCCUAAGAGUUGAAGAUAUUACACUCCCCUCCUCUCAUGGUUUGAAACACACAUUUUAUAACUUUAUAAUUACAAAAUACUACUUUCUCACCAUUUUAUAACUUUCCUUUAACUCUUUAGAAUAAUUCAGUCAAUAUGUUUCUUUUACUAAAAUAACCUUUAAUCGUUUCUAACCUUUACUAUCUCCUUCACCGUUAUCAACACAAUAAUGAUGUCGUCCGCAAUUUCUCCAUUGUUAUGAGAGUUUUAGAAACCACCGAUCCAAUAAUUUAUCGUCUUGACCUUUACACAUAUAGCUUUUCUCUCUUAAAUAUCAAACCCCUUUCUCCCAUUUCCCCUGUUAUUAACUUUCUCACUUACUUGCAUCAAAUCUCACAUGUGAGUUAGAAAUUGGGGUAUGAACCUCACAAGCUGUGAACAAUGGAAACAUAAGUCCAAGACAGUGGUGUUUCUUGUGCGGUGGAUAUAUUUGGCUGAUUUCAUGAAUUACUUGAAGAAAAAUUCUAAAAAAAAGAUAUAUUAUUUGCAGUCGGUGCAAUUUCUUAAAAAAUAGCUGCAAAGAAAUUUUUGUAGCUGCAGUCAAUUGAUCAGAUCAGGCAAGCAUAGAUAAAGGAAUUAUAUGAUUAAAAAAAUGAAAAGGUACGUUUUUCGGUACAAUGAAAAAGUUAAAUGAAAAGGUACUUUUUAACAAUGAAAUUUGUUUAACGGCAGUUAGAAAAUUUGACGGAAAAUCUUAAAUUGGAUUAAAUUGAAUUAGUUUUUAUUGAAUAAGGGGAGGGGACAAAGUAUUUAGAAACAUGAGGGGAGGGUAGUGUAAUAUUGGUAUCUUUUUAAGGGAGGGGGUGUAUUUUACCCAAAUAAAAAUGAUAUGUGGGUCGGUUCGGUUUGAAUGACUAUUCUAAAAAAUCUAAACUGAUCUGAUCCCAAUAUAUAUGGUUUAACUUGGUUCGAUUUUUGGAUAUCCAAAACGCAAAAUGCAUAUUUUUUAUUUACUUUUUUUAAGAAUGGAAUUUCUUUAUUAAUAUUAAUAUUACAUAAACAUGGUAAAAUAAUAGGUUUGAUGAAAAGUAUAUAAAAAAAUAAUUAUAGUAUGAAAAUUAGCGAUUCUUUUUUAAACAUAUGAAGUAAUAAUAAUAUAAAUUAAAUUAGUGCAAUAUAUAAGAUUAAAAAUCAACAAGCAACAUAAUAAUGCAAUAGAUAAUACUAAUAAAAGAAUAAAUAAGUAUUAAUAUUUACUUUUGUGGUUCGGUUUGAUUCAAUUUUGAGAAAGUGGUCUGAAAUCUGAUCUGAUCUUAGUUGUUUUUACAAAACAACAUCCAAACUGAACAACAUCCAAACUCAUCAAAAAUAUUUGGUUUUUUUGCUGUUUUUGGAUUUUUUGGAUCGGUUUGAAUUUGAGCACCCUUAUCUAUAACUAUUACACUAAUCAUAAUUAAUCAUGGUGUUUUAGUAAAUGAUACACAUUUUGUCAUUAAAAUCAAUAUUAUUAAUCAUUUUUAUAACCGUGUAAGACUCAAAUAGAACAUCUAUUGUGAGACGGAUGGAGUAAUUAAUAUCACAUUCACAAAUCUUAAUUCACAUCUUUUACUUUAUAUUUAUAAUAUUGAUAAAUACAUCAAUAUCUGAUAAGGACACUUUAGUAAAAAUAUUUAUCUCUUUUUUUUUUUUUUAAUAUAUAUGAAAUAUUCAAGUAAAUUGGUUAAUUUGAGACAGAGUGUACUACUUAUGUGUAAGAAAUUCAUUCGCAAUUAAGUUCUUUUAAAAGAAAAUUGAUUUUGUUGUUUUUUUUAAAUGCAUCCAAGCUAUUUAGAAUGUCAUCAAUCUGUCCCCAUGAACUUAACUCAUUUGGUAAGGAUAAUGCAUAAUAUAUGUAAGGUCUGGAGUUUGAAUCCCAACCACCACCCAAAAAAAAAUGUCCUCAAUCUUAUGAUAAAUUAUGCUUAAACUAAGGGGAUGCCUCAACUAUUAAUCAUUAUCUUCGUUUGCUACAUUUGAUUGAGGAAAAAGAAAAUGUUAAUGAUUGUCGGCCUUUUUAAGAUUAUAAAGAAAAACUUUUAUGUGUUAUGAAUACAAGUAAACAGAGAUGAUAAUAAUAGAGAGAAGGAGAAGAAGAGAGAAUAGGAGCAGUAUUUUUAUUCACUGAUGUAUAUAUCAAUGUUACAAAUGAGCUCUAUUUAUAGGGAAAUAGAGUAGCUUAUGAAUUAAGCCCAAUAACCUAGUAGUAUGGCCCACUAACACAUUUGCUAUUUGGACAUCCACUAUUAAUAUUUAUAACACUCCCCCUUGGAUGUCCAUUGAGGAUAUGCCUCAUUAAAACCUUACUAGAGAAAAACCUAAUAGGAGAAAAAUUCUAGUGAAGGAAAAAGAGUACAAUAUCCCUUUUGUGUAUGAUAAUCUGCCUCGUUAAAAACCUUACCAGGAAAACCCAAUGGGACAAAACCAUGGUUAAGGGAAAAAGAGUGCAGAACACAUUUAUGUCUCCCCCUCAUAAAGACAAUCAUCUAUGAGACGAAGAAAGUCAAAUAAUAUUUGUUCUAGUUACUCAAAAGUUUACUUGCAGCGACUUUGUUGAAAUAUCUGGUUUAUCUUCAUAGUCUUCUUCAAAUUAGUAGUGCUUGAGAAGUUUCUUCAUAUUGAGUUGUUGCUUUAAUAAAUCCACAAUUUUAUUGUAUUUGUAAAAUCAUUAUCCUUAAUAAAAGAGCAUUCUCCACUUUCUUGAUUAUGUUGUUUCUUUAAGAUGCAAAACAUAUGCUUGACUUUGUUAUGAUACCUGUAUUUACUAAUAUUGACAAAAACAAAAUACCACAAUACAUAUAAUUAACACAAUACAUUAAUGUUCUCGUUUGAACUAAGAUAUGGUACUUCGAGACCAAUUCAAGUUAUUUAUCGUUUUCUAGAGGACAUUUUCUAUACUAACAUCGAGUGACAUCACAAUCAUUCUAGUACACAAUAAACUAGAUGUGUUCAUAUCAAAUACAUUUGUUAUAUAAGUUUCUUGAUGCACAAAAUCUCAUUUAAAUGAUAAAUCAGCAAAUCCAAACAAACUUCGUGCAUGCAACAUAUUUAAUUUCAAAUAUUUCUAUAAUUAAUAGAUGUUAGAAUCUCUUCAGGAGUUCAAUAAUAUUUAUACCAUCAUCAUUAAAAUGAUUAUAACAAAUUCAUUUUCAAAUAUUUAGAAUGGACAUAUGAUGUCAUUUCUUCAAUAUCUCACGGAAAUUAACUCUAUCGGAGAGUUUCAUAUACUCGUCACUAUCACGUGAGUCAUACAACUAUAUUGCAACACAUCUUUCAUAUAAAUUGAGCCUUUCAUGUAAUACUAAACUUAAUCAAGCAAGAAAAAGUUCUUGAAAUCACUUCAGGUGAAUUUGUCUCUUAAACAUAAACGUUAGACAUAUAUCAGCUCACUUCCGGUGAACAUAUCAAACUCUUUACAUAUGUAUUUUAUCAAUAUAAUUCUCUUUCGCGCGAAAAAUCUUAUAUAUCUAAUUAACUUCACAUCUUCAAGUAUGCGGACUACAAGUCCAAAAAGUUCGACUUUACAAAGCGAGUUUGAUUUCAUUUUUUAAUCCAUGAUCCUCAUUAACACUCAUCACAUAUAGCGCUAUGUUAUAAGCAAAAACAUCGACAACGUUGACUUUUAAUUUUGUUCCACCUCAUUCCAUUCAUGACAAAAUUUAUCGAGAUCUCUUUAUUUUUCAUACAUCUCAGGUACCUGGUCGGUUCUUCUGGAACUUAAAAUCAAAUAUGUCAGAUGACUCUUUUAGAGUUUACACAUCCUUAUUUGAGUUAUCUUUAUUUUUAGCUCCUUUUAUUGUUUGAGGAUUUUAUAUGUGGAACUGAUUGGUCUACCACGCUUCAUGCGUAGUUGAGACUCAUUUGCAAUAAUCGACAGGGACAUCUAUUUCGAUUGGAGCAUUAGCAGCUGCUUAUUUUAUUUGUUUAACUUUGCAAACGAGUUAUAUUUUGAGGAUCAAGAUGAGACAAUAAUAUUUUCUUUCAAAUAAUUCAUUUGAACUUCAGGUUCUCAUUUUCAGCUGCUUAUUCUCUCCCCCAAAUAUUGGGAAAACUAAUCAGCCUACUAGGCUGUAAACAAGUUGGCUCAAUAUAAUUUAUAAUAGAUGAAGAUUCAUAUCAAAUAGAUUUUAACAAUAUUCUAUCAUAUUCAAUCUAAGUGCAUUAUAUUGGAGCAAUUGUGAUAGACACAACACAUCCAAAAAUUUACUUAGAUGAGAAAUAUUAAGUUCUUAACCAAAAUAUAAAUUAUAAAAUAAGGUGAGGACUUACAUAUGGUAACUUGUUGGCUUGAUGCGAAUAAAUAUUUCAACAUAUUGGUUAUUCCCAAAGUAGAGUUUUGAAGGUAUGGUCUCAUAAGUAUAAAUCAUACAAUUAACUUUAGACUUCUAAGGAAUGGAUCUUCAAGUCCAUUUUAUGAGCAUAUGCUAAAAGUUGUUUAAUAUCAAUUUCAAUUGAUAAUACUUAUCAAAUGUUUUUUUGAAAAGUUCAGAAAAUAAACUCUUUGUCAAAUUUGUUGACAAGAUAAUCGCACAAACUUCUGGUUUGUGGGUUAAUAAUAACCAUACAUGUCAUUUAGUUCAUCUACACUUUCGAUGUAUUGAUUCACAAAUAUCAACUUAUACGCAUUUACAUAUAUUGAGAGACCAAAAUUCUCAAAUUUUCUACUUUGAAAAAAUAGUUAAGACACAAAAAGUAUUUUAUUGAAAAAUCUUCUGGCUCUUCAAUACAAAUUCAUUAAAAUUUAUUUAUUUUUCGCAUCAUAACGAAUCCGGGAUAACCCAACCGGUAUUGCCAACUACAAACUUAAUAUAAUAUGUAAACUUCUGGUUUACAAUAAUAUGUGCUUCCGUUGCACUAAUAUAAGUGUAGUACAGAUAAGAGGAAAAUAACUUUUCCACAACACUUAUUUUCUUCAGAGUAUAUUUCACCGAAUAACAAAAGAAAAAAAAUCAUGUUCUUCAGAAGCCUUCAUUAAUCAUGUAGUUCUUGAGGAACUACAAGAUAAAUCAUUAUUUGAGCAAUCCUUCAGGGAUUGUUUAAUACACUCAAAAUGAGCAUUCUAAACAUGAUUUGUAAACUUCUGGUUUACAAUAUUACGUGUUUCAUUUGUUCUUAUCUAUUUGAAACAAUAAUGAACAAAAAAAAUAUAUCCAAGUGAAACAAUAUAAUAAAUAUUCUAAAUUUAUCUUUUGCAUACCCAUAGAUAGAAAUAUAGAUAAACGCAAAAUUUCUCUAAUAAACAAGACUUUAUAAAUCAUACUCAUUUCUCAGCUGAGUAAUAAAGCAACACAAACUGUCAAUAAGAUAUAUUUUCAAAGUUUGACAUAAAAGAAUAUGGAUAUCUCUCAUGUAAUAUUUACAAGAUAAAAAUCUUGUGGAAUAAGGAAGAAGAAAAUCUUAAUCAAAUAUAUUUUUGUUCAUAGAAUAAGAGAACAAUCUUGCAAGUUUAUGAAAGAAAACAAAGCAUAGAAGUUUAAAAUAUUACCUCAAACAAAAAAAAAUUGAUACUAAUUUUCAACUCAUCUAAGUUCAUACUAGUGGAAUUUUAUGACUUUGACAUGUAUCAUAUCAAUAGUAAUAUGUACUAAAUGAACUUCAAUAACCACAGUGUUGGAUAUAUAAAACAAAUAGCAUGAAUCAUUCACUUCUGGGAAUGCCGUUCAAUUUAUGACGUGACAUUUCACUAUUUUAAUCAAUAACCACUUAUAAAUUUAACUAAUAUUUCAAAAAUAUUUUUUGUUGUUUUCUUAAUUGUGCUACUUCAGGAGCAUAUUUGAGUGGUGUAUAAAUUAACAUAUUGUCUUCUCUUUUUUUUCUUUCUCUUUUCCUUUUUUUUCCGCAUCAAUGCGAAGAUCAAAUAGAUCUUUUAAACUUUAUCAUGAUCUAAAUGUAUAGUUCUUCGGGAACUCAUAUAUUCAUAGAUGUAUAUGUGUAGUUCUUCAGAAACUUACAAUCAAAUUUAUACAUCAAUAUAAAAAAAAUCAGAUUUGUUAUGCAAAAAAAUUAGCUACCAAGAUUAAGGAAACAACCACUUUUUAGAUAUACACUGACGUGCCAAACUGAAUCCAUAAUUUUAGCGAAAAAUAACUUAAGUUUUCAAAAUAAAACAAAAUUGUCUAACAAAUCCUUUCAAAAUUCUUUUAACACAUUAAAAAGACUUAAGAUACAAUCGAAAUAUAACAUUACUUGUAAUCAUAGUUAUUCUAAAAUAACAGAUUUUCCUUAGCAAAAUGUAUUUCCUUUUGUAUUUAUCUUCGGCCAAUCAUGUCAUUUAAUCAAAUUAAACUCAUGGUAAUUGAAGGCAAUAAUGAAUCAUAAUAUUUCUCUAAAAACAUAAUCAUAAUAUUCAAAAAUUAAUCUCAUUAAAUAACAGUAAAUUCAAUGAUGAAGCAGAAUCCAAUAUUGCAGUUUAAAAGUAAAAUAAUAUCGCACAUAUUUUAGAAAUAUGUAUGUAUUUGAUUCAAACCUUAUGAACCAUGUGCUGAUCAUUUUAAUGAGAGAUUUGUUGAGAAUAAACCAAUCAUCAUAUUUAGAUUCAAGUCCAAACCAAUUGAUUGCCAAAUUCAUGUACUGAAUCCAAAAACAAUUUUUUUACGACUUUUCGUUAACAUGCUAAUCACUCGCAAGCGGAGCUUAUUUGGUCUUAAUAUUGUAUUGAAUUCUUCAAGAAUUCAAGGCUAAUAUUAUUCACGAUCAAACCAAUUCUUUUAUUUCUUCAAGAAGCAUGUCCCAAAUGAUCUAUAUCAAAGUCUUAAUUCUUGAGGAACUAUAUUACACUUUUUUUUUUUUUUAUACAUAUAAUCCUUCAAGAAUUUUUAGCAUUAGUUCUUCGGGAACUAUACCGCAAUUUUGAACGAUCCUACGAGAUGUUUGAAUAUUAAAUUUGUGAGUUCUUCAAGAACUAUGUCACAAAUAUUUUAUUUCCUAAAAAAAAUGUCACAAAUCUCUCUAAGCAAGGAUCAAGGAUAAACAUAAUUUUCGCAUUCAUUCUUGAUAUUACAUUAUUAAUUCUUCAGGAAUUUAUACCAAAAAUGUAGAUGGUGUUUGAGAAUAUUACUUUGAAUACUCCUUCAAGGAUGUCUAAAUUUGUGAGUUUUUCAAGAACUAUAUCACAAAUCUUUAAAAUAAAUUGAUCAAAAUAAAUUCAUUAGUAUAGAGAAAAUUAAUUAAACAGAUUGAUCAUGUUUAUUUGAACUGAGUUUGUUACCUGAGUUCCAUAUUAACUAAGUUCCAUAUAAUUUUUUUUUUUUCAUAACUGAACUGGUUCCAUCAAAGUCGCUUAUUUUGUUAUAAGAAAUUGAUUGCAUCAUUAUUAGUUUGUUAAUAGAAAAGCAAAUGGUGCUAUUUAAAUGCAAGAAGAAACACAUGUAUGAUGACAUGUCCUUUUAAUUUAAAGAAUAAAGAGUAUAAUUAAUUAUAAGAUAAUUACUACAAAAUAAGUGAUGCUAUUUCUUAGGUGAUAAGUGUAACACAUGAUGACUAACGACUACAUGUUCUUCAAUUUAAAAAAAAUAGAAGUAUACUUCUCAUAAUUAGUUGAGAAAAAUGCUACACGUUAAGGUUAUAGUUCCAUAUUUAUCGGAUAAAAAAACAAGUAUAUUACUUAUAUUAUAUUAUACGAUGAGGAUUUUAGUACCUCCAUACGAUGAGGAUUCAAUUACUCAUGCAACCAUAACUUUUAAAAUGGUAGCUAUUCAAAUUUCACGAUAAAUGCACAAACGUACGAUAAUAAUAAUAAUAAAAAUUGUAGUACUUUUGCGAUCCUUCAGGACGUAUAUUCAUUAAAUAUUUGAGUUCUACAAGAACUAUGUACUAAGUUUGAUAAAUCAUUUAUUCAAUCCUUCAAGGAUGCAUCACGAUUGAAUUCAUCAAGAAUACAUUAAUAAAAAUUGAUUUUUAAGCGAUCCUUCGGGGAUGCACUAGUAUUGAAUUCUUCAUGAAUUCAUUAAAAAAAUUAAUUUGUAUGUGCAAUCCUUCAAGGAUGCAUUAGUAUAGUGUUGAAUUCAUUUUGCAUUAGUACUACCGUUGAAUUCUUCAGGAAUUCAUUAAAAAAAUUUUACAUGUGCAAUCCUUCCGUGAUGCAUUGAAUUCUUCAAGAAUUCAUUAAGAAAAUUUUAUAUGUGCAAUCCUUCCGGGAUGCAUUAGUAUUGAAUUCUUCAAGAAUUCAUUAGUCUUUAUUUAUUUACUUUUAAGCGGUCCUUCAAGGAUGCAUGCAUGUUGAAUUAAAAUAAAUAAACACUAUAUAAUUUGCAAAAUAACAAUGAUGUGUAUCUAUUAAGUUCUGAUUCCAAUUGAUGGAAUUGUAACAGUGACCUAAAAUCAUCGAUACAAAAUUACAAUUAUUUGAUGAUAGAAUACAAAAAAAAUCAUGUACGUUCUUAACAAAUUAAAGCAACCGAUUCAAAAACACAAACAAAUAUCACCAAAAGAGUCAUGAUGUUAUAUGAAUUUAUAACAACAAUUAAACAGGCACAUAGAUUUCAUAACUAUCAUGGUCGAUUACCAAAAGAAAACCAAAAACCAAUUUCUAAUGAUCAUAUUACUAUGCAAUCACGUAUAUACACAAGUAAAUUAUAUGCAAGCGAAAAACUAUGAAUUAGUGAAUAUAUUAUAUGAAUACCUUUUCAGUGAUUAGAGCGUGCUGAUAACGUGUUAUGAAUACAAGUAAACAGAGAUGAUAAUAAUAGAGAGAAGGAGAAGAAGAGAGAAUAAGAGCAGUAUUUUUAUUCACUGAUGUAUAUAUCAAUGUUACAAAUGAGCUCUAUUUAUAGGGAAAUAGAGUAGCUUAUGAAUUAAGCCCAAUAACCUAGUAGUAUGGCCCACUAACACAUUUGCUAUUUGGACAUCCACUAUUAAUAUUUAUAACAUUAUGAAAAUUUAUGGAUUCAAUUCAUCAUAAAUUGAAAGUUAUUACCAUUUUAAAAAAAUAAACUCUAUAAAAGCACUCGUUAGCAAGAUAAUCUAAAGUGCUUUGGAUAGAAUUGAUUCUAGCAUAAUUGAUUCUGAUAGAAUUGAUUCUGACAUAAUUGAUUUUGAAAGAAUUGAUUUAUGUUUGGAUACAAUAAUGUAGAGUUGAUUAAAGAGAAUGAAUGUUGUUUGGAUGGUUUUGAUCAAAAUUGCUUUUGAAUGUAUAAUUACUAAAAUGGACAUAGCUAAAUACAAAUAAAUGGAUAUAGUUGAAUGUAUCUGUAGAUCAACAUUAAAUGUAGAUAUAUUAUUUAAUUUAAAUAAAUAAAUUUCUUCUAUAUAUUAAUUUAAAAAAUAAUAAAUACGAUCAUUAAACCAAAAAAAAAUUGACAAAAUAUUUGUUCUAUGUAUUUUAUAUUUUUUAUAAAAUAUAUUUAAGUUAAAUAAUAAUGGAGCUGGUUUCCAAAAACGAUAAGUAUAGUGUAAAAGAAAAAAUAUAAUUCUGAAGGAAAAAAAUUUUGGAAAAAUUCUGAAGGAAAAUUUUUUUGGAGCUGGUUUCCAAAAACCAUGAAUAUUUUUUGGGGUUAAUUUGAUUCGUUAAAUUUUUUGAUUAAAUGUGGUACAUUAAAUUAAAUACAAACCAAAAAGAAGGAGAAUUGAUAAAGGACCAUAAAGGAAAUAAUGGGUAGUAAUAAUCAAAAUAUAAAAUUUAAUGGAGAAUUGAUUCUAGUUAACUCAAAAGCUAGGAAUUGUAGCUUCAGCCAGAAUUACUUUUACAUAAGAGAAUUGCUUUUGUAAAGUUGAACAUGUGAAAAAUUGCCUUUUUCAAUUUUGAGCCUCUAGAAUUGCUUCUGGUCUUGGAAUAAGCUGAACCAAACAGCUAAUUAGAUGGAUUAUCUCAAGACAUAAUUCAGAUAUGACUAUGAGUGUUGAUGUAUAUUCUCCAUGAGGCUACUGCUACUCACCACGACUCCCAAACCCACGAUAUAUAUUGAGGUUGGUUACACAAAUACUAUUUUAACAUAAAUAUAAGAAAUAAAACAAAUAAUAAUAAACUUUGGUGGAAAACACUCAUAAUAAACUUUAGUAGCAGAAAAAGUCAAAGAACACUGGAAAAGAUGAAGACAAAGUACUCGAAAACCUUUUUCAGCUAGCAAUUACAAGUACGCAUGAUGAAAUUUAUUAAGGGUUUUUCUAUCAUUUGCACAUAUUAAGAAAUUUAAAGUGGUAACUUUGACUUAAAACUUGUGCAUUUUAUAUUAAAUAUGUUGCUUUUUAAUAAAUAAGUGUUGUUUUUCAAUGAAAAUUACUACUUUUAGAUGUCUUACAUGUUGUUCUUAAAUGUAUAACAAUGUCUAACACGGGUUGAUGGUCAACACUCGUAAGUUUGGGACGGAAGGAGUAUAUAUUUGUGUGUGUCGACCUGUUCGUGUCUACGUCUGAGUCUGUGCUUUAUAAUAGAAAUCGUCAACAAUCGUGUCCAUGUCGGAGUUUGUGCUUCAUAAUAGAAAUCGUCUACAAAACUUUGAAAAUUAAUAUAGAUCCCACACUUUAGAAAUGGAUCUCAUAGAAAGUGUUCGGAUCCACAUUGACUUCAUCUAAUAUGAGAGUGAGUGUUGAAAGGAGAGUGUUGUUAACACUCCUCUCUCAUCAAUACCUCAUGACAAAACUCCACAUUCAAUUUAGUCAACAAAACACAAAGAACAAGAAGAAAACUGAAGGGGAAAGAAGGCUCAAGAGAUUAAAACCAAAGUUUGAUAUUCCUAUUACUAGUCUAUAAUUAAAUAUGAACUUGUUUUUCUAUCACAAAUGAAAUAUAAACUUGAUCAGAGCAUAUGUGGAGGUGCUUUUGUACUAGAGAAUAUCCCAUGGCUUUCUACAAUACAUAGACAUCAAAAGAAUAACACAUGAUUCUGUGAUUUCAAUUGUUUUCCCAAUUCUGCAUUCUGAUCUUGCAUACAUCUGCAAUACUGACAAAAGAUAAAGAAAAUAAAUUAGCAAAAAUACCAAAAUGAGAAUAAAAUAAUCACAAUGAAUUAUCAUUUGAAUUGUCAAUAGAUUUUAAAGCAAUGCAAAUAUUUGAAUCAGAAAUUCAGAAUUGAACUGUAAAUGAGACUUACAGAAUUGUUAAGUUUGUUCAUCAAUUUUCGUAAUCAUCGAACAAUCCUCUCCAGGCAAAAAAACACGAUCACCAUUCUUUGUAUGUCUGCUUGGAAAUUGAAAAAAUAUAUACUUGUCAAAGCAAAUGAAGAAUAUUCUGAGUGGGAUUAUACGGUGUCCAUCGACACAGUUAUAAACAAUGUAUAUUAACAUGCCGUAUGAAAAGUUUCUUUGUACAUAAAAAUGAAAGAAAAGCGAAAAACAGUCUCCUUACCAUCUUGAUCUUAUUCCAAUUUUCCGUAGCUCGCGCAAUUGCUGAGCUAUGUCUUGAAUAAAUUUUUUUCCAUCAUUUCCAUUUUGAAGAGAAUUUGUUAUGUGUGCAAUAAGAUCAUGAUCAAAUUCGAGCGCCUCUAACCGGUCAUGAAGGUCUGAUAUUUCAUUUUCUAGAGCAACCAAAUCAGCUUCUCUUCUAGAUUUGGAAGACAUUGGUUCUACACAUGUGGAAUCGUUGUUUUCAAUACUAAUUGAACAAUCAUCGGUAUCUGAUGCAGCAUCAUCAUCCUUAUCAUCAUGACUUCCAUUCGACAUUAAUUUUUUUUGUAUGGACAAAUCAGCCUCCUCAUGAUCAUCUAAAUGGGGCCCUUCACUGUUAGAAUCUCCUUGUUGACUCAAUUUACUAAUUUCAAGAUUUGCAAGUCUAACAUUUGGCGGUUCGUAGGAAAUCUUAUUAAAAGAAAGUUGAUGAACCUUCUUUUCCAAGCAUUCCAAACAUUCUGAAAUAUAUUGUUUUUCCUCUUCAAAUUCUAAAAUAGAGGUUUCACCAGCCGCAACUUCAUUACUGCCUUUGGAUACCUCAGACAAAUUUGAAUCGGGGAAAUUAUUUACAGUAUCUGUGAUGUUAUGAAGAUGAAUAUUUUGUGUCAUGACAGUUUCCUCCUUUGAAUCUUUACUUUCCUCAUGCAUAUUGGGGACCAUAGGCUCAUCCAUAAAGUUGAUCCUGUAAUAGUCUAGCUCAGCUUCUAAAUCCUGUAUUUCUUUUUCCUUUUCCGUGAGUAGAUCAUUAACUUUGUCUAAUUCUUCGUUAUCGUAUUCUGCUUGCUCUUCCAUCAUUCUUAAAUAUUGAUGAGCCUCCAUUUGCAAAGACGCCUUCUCUUCCUGUAACCUUGUGAUCAUAGACAUUGCUUCGUUUGCUGCAAUAGCAGAAGCAUUUCUUUCUUCCUCUAGUUCUUUCUGUAAAUCAUCCAUGUAUCUUUUGUCAUACUCAAUUUGUCGCUUCAAUUGAUCAACAAUAGAUUCACCUUCAAUUUCAGUCAUAUUGGUUAAAUCCAUAGAUUCAAGACCAGAUUCCAUUGCCUCGGCAUGUAUCCUAGGGGAGUGAAUGUGGUUUAUAGGAACAAAUGAUGACAUGUUCGACUCAUGGAGAGAAGAAUACUGUGAUGGUGGUGAUAGCUCUAGUUCUUCCUUGACUUUGUCGAUUUCGUUAGAAGGUGAUUGUUCCAUGACAAAACCAGGUACUUCUCUUUCCUUGAUGGAGUCAGAGGACUUACUCAUGUCAUUUGAAUCCUCUUGUGUUGGACUUAGAGGAGCAGAGUCGCAUAGCUCCGGAUCAGUUUGAGUAGAUGCAUCUUCCAUUCUAUGAAUCUUCUCUGAGACUUUUCCAUGCUCUUCGGAUACGAGUCCAUUAUCAGGUGCUUGUGUAACAUGUAGAGCUGGAAACGUUUUAGAAAACAAAUGUUAGACUAUUUCAAAGAAAAAGAAAGUUGAAAUGUAAGGAUAGAGAAUUGUUACAUUUUUCUGGUAAUUCUCCAACAAAUAUGUGAUCCGCUUUCAAAGUCAUAAGCUCAGAUAGGUGAGAAGGAAGAGAUUUCUCAGAAUGAUCAGUAAUCUUACAGUCCUCUGAUUCUGGUUCUCGAUAAACAUGUGAUGGUGAAACCUCAUCUAGUGAAAUGAGCUCAGGGAGGUUAGAACUCGAUGAACUUUGAUCUGCUUGCGGCCGGUUAAUUUCUUCCACACCAUUGUCAUUCCCAUGUUGGCGCAUGUUGACCUCAGGAAGAGGUACGUGUUUGGGAGAACUAGUCUUUGGCAUUGGUGGUUUCAAAUCACUCACAGCAUGUUUUGUAGGUGUUUCUAGCGUAUUUGGAGCUAUGGUAUCAUUUCCAGCUUCAAUUUUUUCAUUAAAUAUACUACCAGUAUCAUCAUCAUCUGAAAAUUGAAACUCAGACUCAGAAUCAGAAGUAAGUCUCAGCACAGUGUAUCCAACAUUAGAUGAUGGAUGAGAACUUCUCCUUCCUCCUGAUUCAGAAGUUUUACCCCUCAUUUUCUUCAAGUUAUCACGAUGAUUUAAACGGCUUUGCCUUGCCGCAUGUGGCAAAGGAAUGUAUGGCUUAACAACAGAUCUCCCAUGCGAUUUUAAUUGGAUAGAUCUAAAGCCAUUCUGUUCUAACUUCCAAAGCUUACCACAACAACUACAUGGCCUAGAUCCCUUAGGUCUGGAAAACAAAUCUCGGCUCAACGGAGUAUUUUGAUAGCCAGAACCACCGAUAACAACACCAAAUUUACCCGACAACAACCUAUGAGUUUUCGUGUUGCGCUUACCAUUCUUAGUGAGUGACAAAAGACAAUCAUCGCACAUCCUAUGACCGUCCGCAAGUUUACCAUGAGUAUGACACAACAUCAUUGACGAUAUUUCUGAUUUGUGAUCGCUGCAAAGUAGGCUAUGAUAAAACUCUGGCUUUUCGCCAUCUAAGAUAUGAUCAAGCCUAGAACAUAACAAACAAGGCAAUUGCAACUUGCAAUAACUUGCAAACUUUUUGACAAGAUAUGAUAGCAAUGAAUCAACUAGCAAUAGGAAUAUCAAAAACCACUCACAAGCCACAAAUGUGAGAUUCUCAGUGAAUCCUUCCCUCCUUUUUGAUUUGACAAAUGAAAUUCCACCUCUUCUACUUGUUGCCAUCUUCAAAUAAAAUUGGUUUACAAAUCCCAAAAGAGAUUUAUAACAUGGAAAUUCAUCAAUCAAAUUCUCAUCCACCCAAAUCAAAUUCCAAAAUAGAUAGAUGAUGUAUCUAUCUACCUAUCAUAAAUCUCAAUGACCUAUGGUUAGAAGGCUGCAACAAACAUGAAAUAAAACAGUCACUAAUCACCAUUAGCUCAAAAAUCAAAAUCUAAGCAAAACACAUUGCAUUUAAUUAUUCACAAUUUUAACAAUCAAGAAAUUUUUAGACAGACCAACCACAACAACAUCAUCAAGCAAAUGUAACCAUCUUAGCAUAAAACAAUAACAACAACAAAAAAAAUCUAUUGAUUAGAAAGAGAGAGGAAACAAAAUAUACUCUUCAAUUUCCAACUACCUUAUAAUAAUUGUUGAGUAACCAUAAACAUUAACAGAAAAUGAAUUUAUACCAACCCAACCGUUACACAUUAUUAUGUCUUAGAUGAUUAUCUACCAAUUGAAAAUUUAAUUAGAAAAAUUAUCAAUAAAAUAAAAUUAUGAUGGAAUCCAUUACAUGAUUAAUUCAUGGAAUACAUAUUUCAAGAGAGAAAAACAACAAAAAUGUGAAAUUAAAUUCUGAUUUAAAUUAUUACAAAUAAUAAUAAUAAUAAAAAGAAAUAAUUAAGAGGCAUGAAUUUUGUUGAUAUUUUAAAUGAAUAAAUGCAGGAAAAUAUGGUUACCUUAUCUGCAAUUUGAUGAGGGGGAGAGAUGAUGAAGUAUAGAGGAAAUUUUUUCUGAUCAGAAAUGGUGAAGAACUUGUCUUUUUUGCCUUAUUUGUUUCGGGAAAAAGGAAUAAAAAAAUAUUAAUAAAGGAAAAAAUUAAAUAAAAUUAAUACAAAGAAAAAAUAUGAAGAAGGUUGUAGAAAUAUAAUAAGGCGCGGAUCGAGUGACCGUUGAAAUUAACGGUUUUUGGUUUGUUUCUUAGCAAAACAUGAAAGUAUGAAAUUGGACAUAUAAUAAUUUUAAUAAUUUUAGAAUUGAUGGUCGAUGCAUAUAUUCAUUUUAAAAGUAACUUAAUUUUCAUUUUUGUGAAAAGUAGUUUGAUUAAAAAUAAGAAUUUAAAUUGUAUAUAUUCCGUGUGCUUGUAUUAAAAAGGUGUUAUAAUCCAUCCUAUGAUUCAUAACAGAAUUAUUUAAAAUGUUUUUUAAAAGGAAAAUCAUUUAAAAUAUUUAAGAAUACAUAUUUGUUGCAUUGAUAGAUUAUGAUGCAUCCUUUUCAUUUUGAAAACAUGCAUAAAUUAAUAUGUUAAAUAAACUAUGAACUGGUAUAACUUUUGAUUGUGUUGAAUAACUAUAAUAACUUUUUUUUUUUUAGUGAAAGGUUGUGUUACAGAUUAUGUUGACUACGAUAAACCGGGUGGCAACUGCGCAGCACGUCCAUUUUACCAAGUUAUUUACAAUCUCUUCUUAGCUUGUGUUUGUGGCAAGAGGAAAAGUACCUUGUUUUGAAGAGACCAGAUAAUUGAGAAUUGGGUUUAGCUCGUCUACUUACUGGUCAUCUGUAAAUAAAAUUGUGGCUUUAUGUGUUUCGGUUAAAAAUCAAAAUAAAUUGAUAUGUUUUAGGAAUGUUAUUGAACUUUGUAGAUCCUCUCUAUUAUUUUUUGUAUAGAGGUGUCUGUAAAAACCAAAUCAAAAUUCAAUUUUUACGUCAAUGUUUUACUGUUUUGGUUUCAUGAGUUUUUGGUGCGUUAAAAAUUCAUAUUUAAUAUGUUCCUUGUCGGACAAUUAUAAUUUUUUGCAAGAGAUGUUUUUAUGUCCUAAACAUGCCUGCAAAAAAUCAUGAAAAAUUAAACUUUUAAGUCACUUUUCCAGACAAUGAAACAUGUUUGAAGGAUAUUGUGCCACACAUUUCUCGAAUUGUGACCCAGCUUAGUAUUACGAUAAUCACAAGAGGGAAAGUACCUUGCUUUGAAGAGACGAUAUACUAGAGAAUUGGGUUCAGCGCGUCUACUCAUAGGUCAAGUUUUGUUCUCCAAACAUGCAGGCAUGUUUAGGACAUCAUAAGGACCUCCACCAUGAAAUUUUGAAGUUAUUUUACGAUGUACGCAUUAUGACCGAAGCUACGAGACUCGAGUAGUAAUCACAAUGUCUUUCAUUAAACAACAUAUUGAGUUAGGGGUAUAUGAUAUAAUGUAUUAGGUCUCGCAACAAUGUUUUGACAUUGUUAAACCCACAUGACCAAGACAAUGUUUGGCUAAGACGAUGUAUGAAAAGAGAAAAAAAUCAAUGGAUUAGUUUGAAAAGAUCAAGGCUACUGUUGUUAGGGAAAGUAACUUGGCAUGAGUUACUACUGGUCCAUAUCCAACUACAAGUCCUUUAAAGGUUUUUAACAACUAGUUUUCUAAUUUUAUAGGGCAAUCAUGACAUGUUCACACGCGGUUAGUACAAUUACGUUGCAUCAUAUCAAUAGGGAUGACAAUUGGACCCCAAACCUUAUGGGUACCUGUAAAAAGAUCCACAAUGGGUAGGGCAAAACCCUGUUUUCAUGGGUCUGGCCUUGAGUCCGAGUAAUUACCCACAAAUUUAAAUGGGUUUGUGCGCAGGUAAGGGUAUUAUAAUGUCCAGUCCUGCAACCUGCAUAUACAUAUUUAUACAAUAUAAUAAAUAAUUUAUUUAUUUUUGGUGUAUAAUUAAUUAAUUAAUUUAGCUAUUUAAGUCUAAAUCUAAACCUAAAAACUACUUAAUAUAGUAAUUGCUCUCUCCUACUAGUGUAUAAUUUUUUAGGGAUAUUUUGAAUAUGUUUUAUCUGGCUAAAUAAUAAGAUUUGUACUAUUUUAUGACUUGAUUUGAAAAAAUUUGGACCAUAAUUUUAUUUUAAUUGUGAUAUUUUUAUUGUCUUUCAUAUUUAAAGUGCGAGUAAUGGAUACACGGGUAUGAGCACUUAAGUACCCAUAGGGUAUGGAGAAGGGCACCAAAUUUGUUGCCCACGAAGAUACGAGCUUGGGUACGGGUAUUUUUUUGUAGACGUGAGUAUGAGGAAGGGCACAUUAGUACCCUACACAUAGAGUACCACUGCCAUCCCUAUAUCAUCGCUCAAAGCUAAUCGAUGACACAACACAUGAGGACGUUUGAUUACACCUAAAAAUAAUUAUCUUUUUAUUUAAAAUUGACAGAUAUGAGAUUCAAGGACAAUGUUCUUGAAGACAAUCCCGUCAAUGACCAUGCUAAUGUUCCUGAUGCAUUAAAUGUUGAUGUAUGUAGGCAUUGACCACCACUUCAAACCUCCUUUAAAUAUCUAUGAUCCUCGAAAUUGAGGUAUUCUUAAUGCUAAAACUAUAAAUAUUUUAUUUGAAAAAGGGUCUAUUAGGAAAUUGAAUCUCACAUUUUCAUAGUCUUUCUAGGCAUUUUCCAUAUUCUUACUCUAAACAUGUGGAUAAAAUAUAUGGUUUUUUUAUUGUAUAUUGAUGUAAACACAAUUAUUAAUGAUUUUGCAUCUAGAAAUGUUCAUUAAAAUUGUUUUGUAUGAAUACACAUAUAAUUAAUAAAAAACUCAAUGUUUUUCUUUACGAAGUAUAAUGUCUUUAUUAUUAGAUUAUUUCUUAAGCACUGCCAAAAAAAAGAUUAUUUUUUAAUGUAAUUAAGAUGCCUUCUAACAAAUUAUCUUCACAAUUUGGGAAUUCAAAUUUUUUAUACUACUUGUUUGAUUGUGUACAAAUUAUAGUUUCACUCUAAACCACGAAAAUCUCAUAAAUGGAUAUGGUAUUUUCCACACUUGAAUCAAAUUGUCACAUCAUAUUUGAAUUAAUUUGUUUUUGAAAUUUAUCGAUCAAGUAAUAAAAAUUAGUUUAUACAUGACGUAAGAUUUGUCUUAUUCAUGCAUAUGAACUAAUGUAAUUGGAAUGUUGAGUAGUUCAAUUGGGAAUGACACUUGAGUGACUUUUGUAACUUUAGUGUAUUUUAGAGGAAUGAGAGUGAUGAUUGAAUGAUUAAAAUAAACUAUUUUGAUGUGAGAAAAUUAUUGGUUAGGAGAGAGACAGAGACAAAGGCACCCAAGUGCUACCCGUUCAAUUUGAUGGCACUUCAGUGACGAUGUGUUGGGUGACUAUUUGAGUUAAUGAUUAAGAAGUUGGAGGUAGAUAGUUUAAGUAACAACUAACAUACUAAUAUUUGUCGUUAAAACAAACUAAUAAGAAUUAAUGUAACUAACAAAAAAAAAAGUUAAAUAUGUUGUUGGUCUCUAUAAAUAUGUCAACUUUUUGUUUAGUCACUCUAAAAAUUUCCUUAGACUUUUAGUCAUAGGGAAAAUUUUCAAUCAUCACUUUUGGUCUCUAUUUUUAAGUCAACUCAUGUACGAUCUUUAUAUUUUUUUAAUAAAUUUAUGCAAAAAUGUAUAGAAUACUCUAAAAAAAAUUUAGAUUAUUAUAAUAUUAAAAACAUAAAUUCUAGGUACGAGAUUACGGUGGAUUCUAGGGUGAGGGUCCAAUUAGGUCCCUCACCGGUGGACUACGAGAAAAAUACCAAUAGAUUAAACAAGUGGUUCAGAUUUAUUUAAAUUAAAAGUGGGAACAUGUAGAGCUGCUCACAUUCAAUCAGAUCCUCUAAUAGUUUCACACCUUAUGUACGAUUCGUGUAGUAUUCUUGGUUUAUAAUCAGAUAACUGCUCUUCCCCUCAAACCAUCAAAUUUGAAAACCAAACUAUAUGAACCCUAAAAUUAAAAAUUAAAAUCUUCUUCUUCUUCAAACACCAGUUCCCUCUUUUCAGUCCAAGAUCAAACUACAAAUCAAAAUCAUCAAAUUGAAAGCUCUCACUUGCGGCGUUUGGUGAAGUGAGGGAGUCGACGUCAUCUCUGAUUCUUUACUUAGCCACUCAGACUCGGUGAGUUUAGCUUUUCCUUAUCUUCAAAUAUGGUUUUGAAUUUGGGUUUCUAAUGUGAAGGAGAGAUUGAGCGCCAAAUUGGGUUUCCUUUUAUCCCUUUUUAGUUUUAAUUUCCGGUUCUUGUAAUUUCUUGUACCUUUUUUUUUUUUUUUUUUGCUUCAGACCUUUGUAAUGCUGAGAAUUUAGAAUUAUUGGGAUGUGUUGAUGAUUCUUUGUGAUUUUGGAAUUUACCUUUCACCGAGGUUUUGAAUUAUGUGCUAUAUAUCUUGAUGAGUUACUUGUAGUUGCUAGGGAUGAGUCAUGCAAUUACCAUGUAUUGUGCACAUGCUUCCCAUUCUGUUAACAAGUCUAUAUUUUGUACUUGCAUGAUUAUGAAGAUAGGCAAUGAAUUAAGCAUUGAUGAGUUAGUUCUCUUUUUACUUUCUGCUAUUAUAGUACCUUAAAUUCAUUCAGAGACUCAUAUUCACACACACAUUCAGCCAAAUACAUAACAAGUUCGGAAAUUCUGUGUUUUGAUUUAUGAAGCCCGAUGUUAAUAUUAGAUACGACGUUGGUGAAAGUGAACUAUUUGAAUAUAACCCCGUAUGUUUAUGUCGACACUGACAUGUCUCAUGUUCAUCUUGUGCUUGAGUUUAAGGUUUGGUUUGUGAUUUGUAAAUUUUUGUUUUGAAAAUAACAUGGAUGCCAUAAUAUGUGUAGGGCAAUAGAAAAGGAGCAUCGGUACAUUUAACUGAACAGUGAAAGGUGACAUUUUUGUUUGAACGUGUUUGAGAUGGAAAAUAAUGUUGAAGAGAAUAUGCAGAUGGAUGAAUCUGUUGCAUCCGUGGAGGUAUAAGAAAUUUAUUAAAUACCAAUAUUAUUGUAUUUUCUUCUUGGUACAUAUAUUGAAGCUUUGUUUGUUGCGGCAGGGACUAGAAGGCUUGUCAACUGGGGUAACUGACGAAGCAACAUUUGAGAUUGAUGACGACGAUGUUGUUAGUGUUGAGGCUGGGGAAGGUAGCGAAGAAAUUAUAUAUAUUGAUAACAAGGAGGAUAUUCUUUGCAUGGACCUGAAGGGAACAAGUCCCCAUGAGACAAGGAAAUUUGAGUUUUCAAGCUUGGAUAUGGCUUAUGAGUUCUAUAAUUGGUAUGCUAGAAUGAAUGGGUUUGCGGUCCGCAAGAGCAAGAUGAUUAAAAGCAAUAAAGGGGAAAUAUUACAGCAAACCUUUGUCUGCCACAGACAAGGGUUUAGGGAGGAUAGAGGUUUAACAAUAGAAAACCGUAAGCGUGAGUGUAAACCCAAGACUCGGUGUGGAUGUGAAGCAAAAUUUCGGGUGCAUAUAGAUAUGUUCUCACAACGUUGGUUGAUAACUGUUUUUACUGAUCAACACAACCAUGAGCUUUUAGAUGAAGAGUACCAUGGAAUGCUUGCUGCACAUCGAAAAAUGAAAGAGUCGGAUAUAAUGCAGAUGAACGACAUGUUGAAGGUUGGGAUAGGGCCGUCUCAAUUCUAUAGUUCUUUGGCAAACCAAUCAGGAGGGUAUGAAAAGAUAGGGUUUCGAAAGAAGGAUAUAUAUAAUCAAAUAGGAAAGCAACGUCUUUUGAAACGGUGUGAUGGUAAAAAUGCUUUACAAUAUCUUCAUGGGCUGGCAUCAAAUGACUCGUUGAUGUUUUAUCGCCACACCGUUGACGGAGAAGGUAGGCUUGAACACCUGUUUUGGUGCGACGGUAUUAGCCAAAUGGAUUAUGGUGCUUAUGGUGAUGUGUUGGCAUUUGAUGCAACAUAUGGAACGAACAAACGUCAUGUUAAGUAAAAUUGUAAUGAUAGAGUCAACGUUGCAUAAGCCAACAAAAAUCGGCGGACUCAACUUGAGUCAAGGAUCUCCCCCAACAUCAAAAAGAAGCAAAAAUGUGGUUUCUGAACAAAAGUUUGUUGCUAAGUCUCCAUUUAGCCGUUCCAAAUCUUUGUCAGAACACAAUGUCGACAAUGUUAUCCUUUUACCGGACGAUGAUGAAAUAGACAAGAAAGAAUCAAAAACUACUUCUAACAUUCAGUCCACCUACUUGAAGGGAAGCACAAGCAAGGUACCAACCAUUUUUAAAAAUCAAUUUAUAACAAGUAUGCUAAAAUGAUUAUAUUGGUAGUAACAAUUUCUAAAUUGUCAUAGAAGAAAAACAAGUUUUCUUCAACAAUGUCAAGAAGAUUGUCCUUCUCAACCUUACCCACGGGGAGACAUUUUAAGUCUCCUAAGUUAGAUAUCAAGGAGGCUAACAUGAUGUCUAAGGGGAACAUAUAUCACUAAAUUAUAUUUUUAUUUUUAUUUUCUCACAUCGUAUAUGUAAUCAAUUUCUAAUUAACAGUUUGUUGAGACCAACUUUGUUACGACAUCAAAAAUGAAACUCCAACCUGUGGAAGAACAUGUUUCAUGUUAUGUUUUUCAUUCCAAGAAUGAUCUAAGGUAUUGAUUUUGAGGCAGUAAUCAUUUUCAAAUUUCAUGUUGACAAAUAAUGGCAUCAUAUAUAAUUUUAAAUUGUUUUUGAUGCAUGUAGUGAGGAAUUGUUCAAGGUUGAAACCCUCAUAGGCUCACGAAGUGAAUUUCAGACUCUAUGUCCUGGAAGAAUAGUUUACACUGAGGUAAUUUAAUUUUACUUACAAGACCACAACUUUUAAAAUAAUUGUUUGCAGUCAAGUAAUAAUACUAUUAAAUGAUUGUAGAUACUUGAGAUGAUGUCCGCUAAGGUGACAUGGAUUGAGAGGAACGUUGAUGUACCAAGUAUAUGGUCACUCCCCCCCUCAUUUGUGGUAUGUAUUUGUUAGUGAUAGUAAUUAAACUAUUAUAUGCUUAUUCAUGGUAAGACAAACUAGAUUUUUACAUUAUUCUUUUUAUGUUUUGUAGAGAGAUGCAUUCCGUCGUAAUACAAUUGAAGAGCUAAUCGAGAAGUAUGGGAAAAAUUGGAUGCCUCCAAUUGAAAACCUAAAGCAUGUAUGAAUUUAUUUUCAUUACGCGUUAAAUUUCCAAUAAACAUAUUAUGAUACAAUUUGAUGUGUAUAACCUGACAUACUAUAAUCAUUUCAACAGAUUUAUUUGCCAAUUUAUGAUUGCGUUGGCAAUUGGUUUCUUAUGGUUGCAUCCAUUGAUGGCCAAAUUUUGUACCACCUAGAUCCAGGUUUUGAGAAAAGAAAUAUAAUCCCUAGACAAGACGACAUUAAGAAAUUGGUAAGUACUUGACACUUGUGAUAGUUUGUAUUUGAACCUUUCGUUAAUUUAUUAUCUUAUUAUGUUUUACCAAUUUUGUAGUGGCAAAUUAUUAGUGAAAUGGUACAAACCAUGGUUCAAAGUGAACACUUUCCACCCCACUUUCUAUGUGAAGUGCAGCACAUAGACAAUUGGGAUAUGGCCGAGUCUGUAGGACUUGUUUCUGAAGGAUUUUGGUAACAAAAUAUUCAAUUUAUUUUAACUAUUGUAUAUUCACUUUCCAUUUAUAUACACUCCUUUGAAUCACAUGUGAUACUUGUACAUUUUAAAUAAACAGUCAACAUUCUGCUGUUUGGGUCUUACAAUGGCUAGCAAUGGGUUCAUCUUUUACACCUAACAUACAUGUCGUGGUGGGUAUCAUGAAGUUAACAUAUUCAAUUAUUUUUGUAACAUAAUCAAUUAAGUCUUUGCAUCAGUGCUGAUAUUAUCAAUUAAUUUUACAGAUGAAAGAAGAUGUUGUUAGAAUGAAGGUGGCGGUUGAUUUGUUGUUGGGUGAGCAUAAUGAAUAUAAAGACAUCCUGGUGGAGAAAGCUGAAAAAGCGUGGCACGAUAUGAACAAUGUCGAGCAAUCAAAAUAUUUCAACUAAUUUUUUUUCUUCUAGGAUAUUGUAGGCAUGUCUACAAUAGCCACUCGCAUUAGAAUCAAAUUAAUUUGUAGGAACUUUCUUCUAUGGUUGCUUCCUUUUGUUUUUUGAUUACUUUGGUUAGAUUUGUUUAAUGUUGUUUAACACUGCACUCUUUUUUCCUUCAAGGUUUUUAACGAGGCAGUUGUUUUUAUUUGUAUUGAUCGUUUAUUUGGAUAUUGGCCUAGUCGCCCAAGCUUUUGUUAUUUUUUUAUUAUAUUUAUGGAGUUGCCUUGAUUAUUUAUUUUUGGCAUUGCUUCUAUCUCAACCUUUUAUUUUCCUAUCUGCUUUGUAUUUUAUAAGGAGUGUGAGUUGUGUUUGAUGAGUGAUCUCCAUUGGUCUAAUGUGUCUUGGCCACUGGUGUAGCUUAAUUGGAAUGGUUAUGUCCUUAAGACUUUGUAUGUGAUUUUCUGUCCAAGUUCAGGUAAAUGACAUAGUUGAUUCUCUACAGCCGUUCAUAGAAGGUAGGUAAAUUUUUUCAUUGUGAUGCUCAAUUUGGACUUUAUUACAAAACAUCAGUCUAGUAGAUAGUAAGCCAUGAUGAAAAUAUGAUUAGCACUACUAAAUAGAUCACCUGAUUGUAGGCUAUAUAUACUUUGUUGGCAUAAAGUACUUUGCUCCUUGGACAUAAACUUAAAAGUGUUGUGUUACGAUCGUUAGUAGAGACAUAUGAUAUUAAUUUUCAGUCUUUAUGGUGAUCGUCUGUUGUUGGCAGCCGGGUUUUGGUAUUGUAGUGGCCUUUGUUGUUUUUGUGGUUUUCGAUCUUUGGCAGGGGCGCUUUUUUUCCUGCUAUAUAUUGCCGGUUUUUCUUUUUUGCCUUGUGUUGUAGUGCUGUUGUGGUUGGCUGCCAGCGGCCUUUAGUAGGUGUAUGUUUAUGUUUUUUGUUCUUAGUUUUGGCAUUGUGUAUUUACUUCUGAUUUGGUCCAGAAUACAAACACUUGUGCAAUUGAUUGAUUUUGCCCUGUUCUCUCUUUCCAAAAGGAAAAGGAAUUGACAAUUGAAGAUAACAAGAAACUACUUUGUAUGUGAUUUUCCGUCCAUGUUCAAGCAAAUGACAGUGUUGAUUCUCUACAACCUUUAAUAGAAGGUGGGUAGAAUUUUUCACUGUGAUGCUCAGUUUGGACUUUAUUACAAAAAAUCAGUCUAGUAGAUAGUAAACCAUGAUGAAAAUACGAUAAACACUACUAAAUAGAUCACCUGAUUGUAGGAUAUAUAUACUUUGUUGGCAUAAAGUACUUUGCUUUGUGGACAUGAACUUAAAAGUGUUGUGUUGCGAUCAUUAAUAGAGACAUAUGAUAUUAAUUUUCAGUCUUUAUAGAGUGUUGUUAGUUUUCAAUUUGUUCGUGCACUACAUAUAUACUACAAAAUAUGAACUUUAUUUUGUUCAACCUGAAGUAUUCAUAAAGAAAAGGGCAAAAAUAUAAAAUAAAGCGAUAUCAGUAGAAUGUGCUCAAUCUCUAUGCAUUGAGUAUAAGUUGAGGCAAUAUUAAAUAUUAAUAAGGUACAUAUUAACAAUAAUAGGAUGCAAUUCGAUAGAAACUGAGACACAAUAUAAAGUAGGUACAAUAGAAAUUGUGUCAAUCCUAGAUACAAUUAGUUAUCUUCCACAAACUCUAGAGUAGUUUGAGGGCUGGUGCAAUUAUCAUGCAUGUGUUGAUCUUUUCCAAUUCUAUCCAGCACAAUAUGUGUAGUAAUUACUUGGUAUCUGGUAUAAAGUCCUGAGCCAUUUUGAGAAUAACUUUCACUGCUCUUCCUUUUCCGCUUUCCGCUCGCCCUUCCAUGAGUUGUAACAAUACAUCAAUUGUCUUCUUAUUUCACUGGUUUUGAAUAAGAUCAAUUGUUUCGUAACAAUAUCAAUGCAUGUUACUCUAUUGUCGAAUUAUUUUAAAAGCUUCUUUUGUAGCAUAUGGCAGCCCAGUCUUUGGAUCACGGUACCUGUAUCAAAAGAGAACCUUAACAACAUUUGAGGUACAGUAGGAAUAGACUAAGGAAAAUCUUCUAGAUGAACUACUGGAAAUCAGUGACAAUCACAACAAUACACAAGAGUCGAUAUGAUGUAAUCAGGAAAUCAAGUUCGGGCAGAUAAGAAAAUAGAACGGCAAAAUAAAAAAAAACUGAAGAUGCACAGAAAAGUAACCUAGACAUCAGACCUAAAGUUUGUCUACAUAAGGCAAAUUUUGAUGCAUAACGUAUAAAACUCAUCAAUGAUUAUUCUAUCAAAGGAAAACAUAACCAAACUUUAAUUAAACUACAUCACUUGUUCUCUAAAGAUCUGAAAUCUUAAUCCCAUAAAAACUUGGAGACUUAGACUUCCUACCGCCAAAAAAUGCAAGUUCCAAUAACAUCUUAAUCACAAAAAUACAACAAUUGAAGUUAGAGUGGAGCAUAUUCAUAACUCAUCAAUGCUUAAUUCAUUGCCUAUCUUCAUAAUCAUGCAAGUACAAAAUAUAGACUUGUUAACAGAAUGGGAAGCAUGUGCACAAUACAUGGUAAUUGCAUGACUCAUCCCUAGCAACUACAAGUAACUCAUCAAGAUAUAUAGCACAUAAUUCAAAACCUCGGUGAAAGGUAAAUUCCAAAAUCACAAAGAAUCAUCAACACAUCCCAAUAAUUCUAAAUUCUCAGCAUUACAAAGGUCUGAAGCAAAAACAAAAAAUAAAGUAUAAGAAAUUACAAGGAACCGGAAAUUAAAACUAAAAAGGGAUAAAAGGAAACCCAAUUUGGCGCUCAAUCUCUCCUUCACAUUAGAAACCCAAAUUCAAAACCAUAUUUGAAGAUAAGGAAAAGCUAAACUCACCGAGUCUGAGUGGCUAAGUAAAGAAUCAGAGAUGACGUCCACUCCCUCGCUUCACCAAACGCCGCAAGUGAGAGCUUUCAAUUUGAUGAUUUUGAUUUGUAGUCUGAUCUUGGACUGAAAAAGGGGAAUUGGUGUUUGAAGAAGAAGAAGAAGAUUUUAAUUUUUAAUUUUAGGGUUCAUAUAGUUUGAUUUUCAAAUUUGAUGGUUUGAGGGAAGAGCAGUUAUCUGAUUAUGGAGGAAGAAUACUACACGAAUCGUAUAUAGGAAAUGAAACUAUUAGAGGAUCUGAUUGAAUGUGAGCAGUUCUCCAUGUUCCCACUUUUAAUUUAAAUAAAUAUGUACCACUUAUUUAAUCUAUUGGUAUUUUUCUCGUAGUCCACCGGUGAGGGACCUAAUUGGACCCUCACCCUAGAAUCCACCCGAGAUUACAUAAAAAAAAUGGAAUCAAAAGCAAAAAAUAAAAACUUUUAAAAGAUUAAAAAUCAAAUAAAUUUUUUAGAAGGAUUGAAACCAAAAAUUGAAAUAUUUAUAGGAAUAAAAACAUGAUUUUUCUUUCCUAGUUCUAUUCGAUUUCACCACCAUUCCUUGUUGUUGGAUGUAAUUGUAACCCAAUCCAUCCAUAUGUUGAAUCAAUUGCUUUAAGCUUUAUAGUUUCCUCAAAUUCAACCUAACAGAAGAUCCCCUGAGAAAACAGAAUAUACAUUCACAUCAAAGUUGAUGAGGCCGAGGGUAAGACUGAGACAUUUCAACAUUGAAUUUGCUAUAUUUCAUUUUCUUUAUCUGUAAAAUGUUUAUUAUAAUUGCAUUUUAUUGUUUCAUUGUGAUCAGUGGCUAGGAAGUGUUAGAAGCUACGCGAAGCAUCUUCGCAUUGAUGGAGUCAAAGAUACCAUAGCUAUUGCUUCCGGUAAAGGCGGUGUCGGCAAGUCCACAACUGCUGGUAAAAACUCCUUCAAUUUUUCCGGAGUAGGCCCUUUUUGGAUUAACAGGUUGAUUUGCAGCUUAUAGCAUAAACACGCUUAUGAAUAAGUUGUUUCAUUUUUUGUAUAAGAUAUAAGCCUAUGUUUGGUUCCAUGUUUGAAGUACCCAAAAUUGACUCUAGAGGUGUAAAAUUGAUUUUGAUAGGUUUGGUUGGUUUUGAGUAGAAUUGGUUUUGAGUUUAAACGUGAUUUUUACGCUUAGGCUUUGUUCGGUAAAGAACAGCGGAUAACUGAUAAGUUAGCUUGUAGCAGAUGAGCUUAUAGUUGAUGACUUAUAAGCUAGCUUAUAGUUGAGAGCAAAUAAGCUAGCUGAUUGAAUUUGUAGUGUUUGAUAAAAUUAGCGAUUGAAAUAGCAUAUAAAUAUGAAAUGACAAAAAAAUGUAUAUUUAAUUAAUAUUUAUUUUUUUCAAUUAAGAUUGUAGGGGUAAAAUUGAGAUAAAAAUUGAUAGGCUAUAAGCUACUUGAAUUAUCUUAUCAAAAAAAGCUAUAAGCUCAUAAAAUUAAGUUAUAUUAACUUGUGAGAAAAUGACAAUUACCAAACAGGUCUUUUUCAGUCAUACGAGAUUAUAAGCAAUAAGCCAUAAGCUCAAAUAUGUGUCUUACCAAACAGGCCCUUAAAUUUAUUGCUCAACCCACUUUUGCGUAAAUGUAUCUGAACAGAAACCACUUUACAUUCUUCUCAAUAAAAUCAAUUUUGCAAAAUUAAUUAACUAAUUCAAAAUCUAAUUUUUGUCACCGCAGAACUAAACAUGUGCUUAGUUGUUUUCAUAAGCUACCCUGAUGAACUUAUGGAAAUAAGCUGAAAACAACUGAUGAACAUGUCAUAAGAUGUUUUCAUAAGUUGUCUCGGUCAGUGUUAUAAGUGUUUAUGUCACUAGAUAAGCUCAAAACUCAAAUAAGUUGAUCCAAACAGGCUAUUAUUAGUUGAGCUUUAUUGAAAAUGAAUUAAAAUGAGUUGAUUUGAAUUUGUAGUGAAUUUAGCUGUUGCGCUUGCAAGUAAGUUCCAGUUGAAGGUUGGGUUACUUGAUGCUGAUGUGUAUGGACCCAACAUUCCUAUCAUGAUGAACAUCGACACAAAGCCUGAAGUCACACAAGGUAUAUCAUUCAAUAUUUCUCUAUAAUAUACUGGUACAGACACAAAUAUGGACACGGCGCUUACACGUAGUCAUUGCUAAAAAUAAUUGAGAAAAUGAAUUUGAUUGAAUGUAACCAACAGCUGUCGAUGUCCGACACUCUUAUGAAACUGACACAUAGACAUUGCUAAAAAAAAUUGAGAAAAUGAAUGUGAUCACACAUGUCGGUUUCGUAGGAGUGUUGGAAACUCGGGCACAACUUUAACCUAAACUGUCAAUGCUACAUAGAUAUUUAUUUAUUCCCACUUUAACUUUUUCUGAGAAGUAUUCAUCUUCAAUGGCAUUGGAUUUCUACAUGUGUGCUUUUAGGCAUUGUGUUAUGUUAAAUGAAAAGCAUCAAUAUCAAACAAAGUUUGCUUUCCACUCACAUUUAAGCAAUUUUAGUGACAAUGUUAAAGCAAUAGGAUUUGUUUGAUUGUUUGUCUUCUAGAUGUUAGUCAUGUUAUAUGAUUAACUGUAAAAGUAAAACACUAACUGCUACUUAAUUAACUUCUCAGGUAUUCUGAGUUUGAUAAACUUAUCCAUAUGUAAUAUUUGCUGAUUAUCAUAAAUGGCAAUGCUCUGAAUAAGGUAGUUUUAAAUCAUCCACUUCAUUUGUUUUUUGGAUUGGAUGGAACCCAAUACAUAACUAGAAGAGGAGUACGAGCAAUACACUUUUCUCAACACAUGAUAUUUUUAGGAGUGUGUUGCUGUCAUUUCUCAUAACUACAAUUGUUCUGUUUUUCUUGUCUGCUUUUAAAAACAUUUUCUUUGUUUUAAAAUUGCUACUUCUAGAUAACAUAAUUAUUAAGCAUUGUUUUAUGGCUAAGUUCCUUUCCAUCUUCCAUUGCAGUUCAUGCCAAUAAUUUUCUGUUCGCGUAAUUUCAGAUAAUAAAAUGAUUCCAAUUGAUAGUUAUGGGAUCAAGUGUAUGUCAAUAGGGUUCCUUGUGGAGAAGAAUGCCCCGAUUGUCUGGAGAGGCCCCAUGGUAUGCAUGCAGCUGUAAUUUCUGAUUUCCCUUGAUUGGUCUCCUUUUCACUUUCAUUAACUUAUUUAUUGUUUUAACUGCCUUCUACAACUUUAGUUCUUAGUUAUUGAAACAUAUCGCAGAGGUUUUUUAUUUGAAUUUUUAUUGCUGGAUUAUCGUAGGUAUCAAAAGCUCUUGAGAAAAUGACAAGGGGAGUUGACUGGGGGAACCUUGACAUUCUGGUGAUAGAUAUGCCUCCUGGCACCGGUGAUGUGCAAAUAUCUAUGUCUCAGAAUCUGCAACUAUCAGGUAGCUAACAAUUUAGGAAUCUGGAAGAUAGUUCUAGUUGGAUGCUUUUUGGGGGAUCACCUGUGGUGAUGUCUAAUGCAAAACUUAGCCAAACAGCUUGGACCUUUACUUUGUCUAGAUUUUGGCAUUUUAGUCUUUUUUAUUCUUAUCUACCUGAUAUAUUCAAUAAAUCCAUAAAGAAGGUUAUGCUAGGUCUAUUUGUAGUCUGUACUAUGCUCUGUAAAUUCGAAAGUGUUCAAAUAUCGGCAUGGCGGUGCCAUGACAGAUUGUGGUGGUAGAUUUUUCGACAACCACCAUGGCCAAUUUUGAAGGAUGGCGUCGUCAUGGCGUUUUAUGGCAGCUUAAAAUGAUGGGCUUUUGGCUUUCCACCAUCUGCAAUCAAUAACACUGAUUCAGAAUGAAAACUUUUUCAGUAGAAUUUUAAUUGAGUCACGAUCAUUAAAAGGUAAAAUACAUUUUUUAUGUUCAAAGAAAUCAAUCACGGAUAAAAUUGAACUAAAGUGUCGUAAUAUUGGAUAUUUUGUGCUAUCACCAAAUUAUUAAUUGUCUUUUGAAAUGACCUUUCUUAUCAAGUUUCCAUUCACUUAACCUUUUUCAUUGGUUAUUUUUGUCAUGGCUUCGUCUAUGGUAGGUGCACUGAUUGUUUCAACUCCUCAAGAUGUUGCAUUAAUGGAUGCAAGGAGGGGAGUACAAAUGUUCAAUAAAGUUGAUAUUCCGGUAAAAUACUCGCUUGGCAUACUUUUUCUUACCUGAUUAUGAGUUUUUGUAAAUUGGAACGUAUGCUAAUGUUGAGCAAUUCAGUAUGUAUGCUGUGCUAUACUAAGAUACACCAUACACUACUGGUUUAAUUCAACUUGUCAAUCAUGCUGCAAUUACCAAUUAUUAUUCAAUUGGACUAUUGCCUCAUGGUCAUGGGGAUUCAUCCCAAUUGUUUUUCUAAGAAAAAAUGUUUAUAUUGUCAUGCUAAAAGUGCAUUGUACCAUUAAUGCAUCUGGCAUGGAUUUUUUGUUAUCUAGUGGCUAUAUGGCCUCCAACCUCUUUAGGUUGGUUGAAAUCCCAAUUAUGCUGAAUCAGGAGAUUGCAUUUUGUCGGAAUCAGAGCUUAGGAGUUGCUGCAAUGCAUUUAGAAAUCCUAAUGGCUCAUUUCACUUUAUUGUUUAUGUUACUAAAAUUAGUUUGAUUAUAUAUGUAAACAUACCCGGUCUCAAAUGAUGUGGAACUGGAAGUAUAUUCAUAUGUGCUUCUAUGAUAUGUUUUAAGGCAUUUGUUUUUAUUUAUUUCAUGGAACUUGUUUGUCCAAUAUGGGUUGCUGAUAAUGAUAUUUGUGAUGCCUGCAUUGAUAUAUCAGCCAUUUCUUUUUCUUAUUUGGUGUUCACAUGUCAUCUGAAAAGUAUAAGAAUGCAUCCUAGCUUUGAUGUCUGUUAAUCUGAGAACUCCAAUUGUCCUUACAGAUUUUGGGAAUCAUAGAGAAUAUGAGCUGCUUUAAGUGUCCACAUUGUGGCGAACCUUCAUAUAUAUUUGGUAAAGGAGGGGCUCAUAGCACAGCCACUGAAAUGGGAUUAAAUUUUUUGGGCGAGGUAUGCUGAUUAUCUGUAUGUAAACUGUACUUUUUAAAUUAUAAUUUUGCAGAUCACCGGACUCUAUUGAAGCAAGCAAUUGAACACAGACUUGUAAUAUAUUUUUUAUUUGUAAAUGACUAAGUUAACAACUGAUCAAUUUUUUACUCUUUUCUUAGAUGUUACUAUAAAAGUUAUCUUUGUGCUUUAGCAAUAUCGGUGUUUUAACUAUCUAAUGAGUAAAGCUAAUCCUAAAUAAAAAAACUAAAUAAUGCCAGGGGGAGAGGGAACUAUUUCUGUGUCUUUGAAAAAAAAGUUUUACCCAAAUUAAUUAAGAAAGACAUAGGUAAUUUGAAGUUAUUGAAUUUGAGAGAACUAAUUUUUGAGAUUGAGGUGUUUAAAGUCCAACAUUAUCUUUUUCUUCAAAAUGAAAUUUAAGCUAGUCCCUAUAAUUAUUUUUUUGUUUUAUUGGGGGUGGUGAUACACACAAGCAGUUUGGCACAUUCUUUAGAUUGUGCUGUGCUAUUGCUGUAUCUUUCAUGGGAGACUUGGUAGACUGUUAAGUUUAUUCGGGGGGGUUGAUUUUACACAUUGAGAAGAGCAUUUCUCUUAAUUUACUGUAAUAUUUGUGGCUUAAAUUAUUGAUAAACAGCACAACCUCUAUUCCCGGUAUUAAGUGGGAUUGCAAAAUUUAUCUAUUGAGUAUUCUGACAAGUUUUUGUUUAUCGAUUAAAGGUACCGCUGGAAGUGGAGAUCAGGGAAGCUUGUGAUCAAGGGCACCCGAUAGUGUUGGCCGCACCUGAUUCAGUAGUUUCUAGAGCAUAUGGAAAUAUAGCUGAAAAGGUUGUUCAGAAACUCAAGGAGAAACAAUUUCAACCAGAGAUUUUACUAUGAAAUGUUUCACUUUGCCGUCAUAACACUCCAGUCCCUGAGGAAGAAAAGAGGACCGGGCUGAUUCCCUUAUGCUGUUUAUACGGGGUUUGCUUACUUUUAAAUUUUGUUGAAAUUGUAGUAUAAUAUAACAUGUAGGCCUCACAUAUGAUUUAGAUUUGUAGAUUCAAGUAUCUUCAAUUUUGUUUAAUAAGCAGUUAGAGGUUCUUCGUCGUCAUAGGUGCUGUCAAAUUAGCAGUUUAAUUUAACUUCAAUAUUGAGCUUACAUAAAAUUGUUGCUUCCAGAAGGGUUUUGUUAUGCCAUUCCUUAAGUUAUAAGGUUCUUUUUUUAUUUUUAUUUUUUUGUGGUUGAGUUGGAUGCAUUGUGGAGAGGUUAUCGUCUUUAGGAAGAGCAAUACAUUUCAAAGAGAUUUAUUCUUGACCUGGUAGAUGUGGUAGCUUUUUUUCGUGUGGUGGCGGUAUGUGAGAUGUAUUCUUAUAAUAUAAGAUAUGAAAAUAAGGUGGUUAUAUAAUGACUCCUCAAAGUGGUUGUCUUUUAUGAUGACAACUUAGCUAUUUGAUUGGGAUUUACCGGCUUGGUUUGGUUUGGUACUGUAUUGUCCUAAACUUCUGUUUCCACUAUCCAAUCAUUUGAAAAAGCAGACUGAAUUGUAAGCCACAAUUUUUGGGAGAACUUGGAAAAUUAUACUACUUGCAUUGUACUCGUUUCUACUUUUGAUAGUGCAUGUUAGAACGACAUCUGACGAGUAUGCCAUAAUUUGAAAAGGCAGACUGAAUAGUAAGCCACAUUUUUUUAGGUACAUCUGACGAGUCACGACGAGGGAUUCAUAAGUGGGGUAGUAGUGCCAUGUAACCAAAUCGAUUUAUACUUCGGGUCAUGCUAACUAAUGUCUUUGGGACACCAGCACUUUUUAUAUUUUUAAAAGUUUGACUACACAUAUUUUAAAAUACACAUUUUAAAAUAAUUUUGCCAUAUUUGCUUUCUUAAUUAGUUUAUCAUGGGUACUAGUUAGCAUUUUCCUUAUAUUAAUUGCUACAUGAUAAUAGUUUAACUUGCUCGAGAGUGGACGAUGGUUUGGGCUAUUUUUUACUCAUUCAUAUGUACUACCUCCUAUCCUUAUUAUAGGAAAAAGAUAGGUAGACCACUCUAUGUUUACACUCCUUUGUAUCACUGCUGAUGUGGCAGAGGUAGUUUGGUAAUUUCACACAAUAGGGGUAGUUUGGUAGUUUCAUUCACAACCACACAAUCUUCUCUUCCUAUUCUCUGUGGCCUCACCACCACCGUUGAUGUCGUUAUGUCAUCACCACCACCGGCCUCACUAAAUCGCAACCCCAUCUCCAUCGCCAUCGUUCUGUCACCUCCAUCAACUCCCACAACCGAAUCACAAAUUCUUCUUCUUCAUCACCGUCGUUUGUCCAUCACCACCUCCAUGCAUUUUGGUUUGCAUUCUAGAUCUGAUGUUUUUGAUUUCCUUCUUGGCGGCGGUGAGAUUUAUGUCGAUGGUGGUGGUGGAUGUUCGAGGUCGAAGGCGGACAGAGGUUGUUAGAUCUGAUGGCGACGGUGGUGCCGGUGAAGUUUGAGGGUGAUGACGGCGACGGUGGUGGUGAGCUUUGGGGGUGAGAACGGCGACAACGGCGGUGGUGAGAUUUGUGGUUGAAGAUGGAGGACGACGGUGGGCGGUGGGGGCCGAUGGUGGUUCCGAUGAGGGAGAAGAAAGAGAGGUCUGAAGAAGGAAUUGUUUCACUGUUUUUAUUUUAUUUUAUUUUUGGAUUCCCACAGUAAAAGGAGGCUACGUGUCGCAUAUUGGUGUGGAGAUCAAUGUGUGUACGCCACUUAAGGUGGUUCACCUAUAAGAGCUGUUAUUAUAAGAAGAAAAACAGAAGAAAAAAAAACCAUCAAAACCAAUAUAGUCAUUAAUUGUUGUAAUUUUUUAAAUAUGUUAACAAAUACAAUCUUAUAAAAAGUUUUAAAACAACUUGAUCUUAUAUGCCGGUAAAUAUUUUUUAGAUCUAAUAGAUUAAAAAAAAAUAUUAAAAAAUUUCUUAUAUUAAAGAUCGGAGGGAGUAUAUUGAAAAUAUUUUUGAAUGAUAUAAAUAUAAAUAUAAUAAAUAUAAGCUUUUGCAAGCAAUUGUCACUUGAUAAAAUCAAUUUAUAUUUUAUAGCACUUGUCAAAAAAAAUUAUAGCAAGUUUGAGUAAAGUUUAUCUUUUUAUCUCUUUUAAUUAUAGAAAUAAUUUUAAUCUAAGAAAUUUUGAUAUUAUAAUAUUUGUUUUUUUAUUUGUAUGCUUUCACCUAACUAAUACAACGAAGAUCAAAUUCAAUUAAUAGUCCUUUUACUUCCCUCAAAAUUAAUUAUUUUAAAUCAAACUACACUAAUAUCAACAUAAAAAUCUAAAAGCCCCUAAAAAGGAUAAAAAUCUAAAAGUAUUAAGAUACACAUAGGAAAUGAAUAUUUUUUUUUUUGGUCUAAUAGCCUAGUGGCUAGAGCUCACACAAUUAAAUGUGGAGAAGUGGGGUAUCCGGAGUUCGAACCCCGGCCCCUGCAUAAAUUAUGCAAUGUCCUUGCCAACUGAGCUAAGCUCAUGGGGACCAUAGGAAAUGAAUAUUAUAUAUAAUAAACAUAUUCUUUUUUCAUUGAAUUUUAUUAGAAAACAAAUUCAUUUUUAUGAGAAUAUUUGCACACACAAUAUGAUUCCAACUAACAAGUUUUGACAACACUACAACUUGACAAAUUCUCUUAUUUUCUAGAGAUGUGAACUCAUGAUGAAGAUGUGCUUCACCAUCUUAAAGACCGUGCUCCAUGGAAGGAAGUUUGACAACGGACGCGUAAUGUUAAUCAUCCAUAUUUUUUCAGCUUCACAACCUUUAAAACAUUUCAAACCACGUAUAAAGGACCUUUUGUAACAUGCUUGCAAUAACUAUUUAGUGGAUCUGACACUUCAUAAAUAAUCAUACUCUUGGAGACUAUCAAUGGAAAUUUUAAAAUGUCCUUUAUUCUAUGGAUAUCAUGUGUACAUAUUUAACUUAUGUUAAUAUUCACUUCUUAGAGCACCAAAUUAUUCAUCAAAUUGUUAAGUGGCCCAUCCUCAAGAUGGAUGCAUAACAAAGUCGAAUAUUGAUGGAAGUUGUGGUGCUUCAGGUGACACUAAUGCUAGUAAUUUACUACGUGAUAACAAGGGAGAUUAAAUAACUAACUAUCUCUUCUAAUGAGUGGUAGAUGAAUGAUAUUUAUCAUGAUUUGAUAUUCAUAAUCAACAACUUUAUUCAACUGGUUAUUUACAAGACGAAUUCUUAACGAAUCCUUAAUCUUCUUCAACAUAUGUAUCAUUUACAUAUACAUACAUACAUAUACAUAUAUAUAUAUAUAUAUAUAUAUAUAUAUAUAUAUAUAUAUAUGUUUAUUUUUUGACAAUUUUUUUUGUUUAAAAUAAUAUAUUAUUGACAUUUCUUUCUUACUUGUGCUUAAAAAACAUCCUUUGCUUGAAUUUCUUAACAAAAUUAAGAAGUUAUUCAAUAUUUGGUGUUACAUUUUGGCAGAUUAGAGUUCAAAUCUACCUUGAGGCUUAAUACCCCUAGAUUGAACUAUGUUACCUACUUCCUCGUUUUUUAUGUUCUUUUCAUUUUUUUGUCAUGCUACCAAUAAAGACGAGCUUCUAGAAAAACGAUCAUUUUGUUUUUUUUGUCAAAUGUUUAUUUUUGUUUUUUAAUAAUAUAAUGUAAUCAUUAUUUACUUUUUUUGUAAAAAGAAUCAUUAAUUAUGAGUGGAAAAUAAAUAGACUUUAAUAAUUGUCUUAAACAAUUUAUUUACUUUUUAAACUAAAUUGCAUUUUUGAUCCCUUAACUAUUUAGGUAGUAUCGCUUUUAAUUAAAAUUCGAUUUAUUUUGAUUCCUUAACUUCUCUCCAUUACACAUUUUGAUCAUUUCCGUUAAUUUUAAUUAAAAAAUGUUAGAUUUUCUUCAUUUUCUUCUGUAAGUUUUCUGGGAUUCUUGUUGUUUAAGAUUGACGGAGAUGAUAUGAAGAUGAAAAAUAGAAAAAAAAGAUAAAGAAAAACUAACGUUUUUGAAUUAAAACUAACGAAAAGAACUAAAAUGUGUGACAUAGAAAAGUUAAGGGACUAAAAUAAAUCAAAUUUUAAUUAAUGUACCAAAGCAAUACUACUCGAGCAACCAAAAAUGCAAUUUAACUUACUUUUUAUAAGUGAAAAAGAGAUCGUGAUGAAUGACCCCGUUUAAUCCACUCCAUUAUAUAUAGGGCAACUACAAUGCGAUAGCAACCCAAGUCAAAAAUAUCUUACGUACCAAAUGGAACUCGAAAUAUUGGUUUCUUUCUUACUUUACUCUGUAACUCUCGUGUCGUUCUUAUUCUUAGCCAAAACAAAACUAUCAAUAUCCCCAAAAACACACUCCUCCACCGCCAUUCCCAAACCUUAUCCAAUUUUCGGUUCCAUAUUUGCUUUUUCCGCCAACUUCCACCGCCGCAUACAAUGGAUAGCUGAUAUUCUCCAAACCAUCCCUUCCUCCACCUUCAUCUUCCACCGCGCCUUCGGUUCCCGUCAAGUCUUCACGGCAAACCCUGCCGUGGUGCAACA
This 49542-nucleotide long non-coding RNA is filed under the name Medicago truncatula (barrel medic). RNAcentral's name for it is "long non-coding RNA (MTRU_LNC004700)". The stretch from base 48900 to 48990 matches the Rfam family "MIR5298 microRNA precursor family". Lineage: Eukaryota; Viridiplantae; Streptophyta; Magnoliopsida; Fabales; Fabaceae. The record is from RNAcentral.